GGCCCCACUCAAGUACCCCCUUUGCAUCCGCUUUGCUGUCAAGUCUGGCGGCUACCGCAUCGCCGACGACGUCAUCCCCGCCGAUUUCAAGGCUGGCACCACCUAUAAGACCACACUCAGCAUCUAAUCAACCUCUCAUGAUGAAUUAUAUUUCAAAAGAGCUCACCUAGCGCAUGUGUUACAAGACAAUAUUAUUUUUUCAAUGGCUUUUUUUGGCACCAGACCACCCAAGAAAUAAGUUAUGCUACAUGUCUCUUCUGACGCCUUGUUGUGUUGGGUUGAUAUUAUUACAUAAACUAAAUACAUUAUUUAUUUAAGAUUUUAGGAGAAAUAUGUUGAUCUGAUCCACCUUCAUUAUCGAGAUGGUUGUACAUUUGAUUUUCCAAUGUUUUAAUACUUAUGAAAUUCUUUGUUUUUGUUGUUUCUAUGCCUGGAUUAAUAAAGUUUGUUUUAUCAUUUUUAACAUAUUGUUCAUGCUCAUUUUUUUGUCAAAAAUAUCAGUUAUAUAACCAUGGAUCUUUAGUGAGAAGCUCCUAUUACUUACCCUAUACAUCUUUCCUUGUUAGAGAUUAGUUUCUUGGAUUUUUGGUGGACAAUAUUUUUCCAUGAAAAAUCCAACGGUCGUUCAUGUUCAUUUUGGCCAAAAAUAUUAGUCAUAUACACAUGAAUCUUUGGUGAGGGCCUCUAGCCUAGUGGUUAAAGGCUCUCGAGUAGCACCUCCAAGUCCCGGGUUCGAUCUCCCUCGUGGGCAAAUUUUUCGGAUUAGUGAAAAAAAUCUCCUAGCUAUGUCUCAUCUGUUCUCAAGUUAUGAUAUCAUGUGUGCCCCCUACAUUUGGGCCAUUGCAAAGUGGACAGUUGACACCAAGCCCGUUAGUGAUGGGAAGCCAGGGUUCAGGGAUUUUCUUGGCUGGGACCAGUGUUUCGGUCUCUUCUGUAACACCCUGAAUUUGGUGGUAUAAAAUUUAUUCUCUAAUGCCUACCAAAUUCAGGUGUUACCUCUUGUUUCUCUCUCUCUAGUUUUCUUCUCUCUUCCUUUUUAUUAGAAUUAUGUAUACUAUGUGGGAGAUUAAGUAUUUCUUUACUAUAUCAAAACCUAUGCGAGUCAUGGGAUGUUACAUCAUGCUGAGCCUAAAUUAUACUUUUGCUUGAUGCACAUGUUUGAAUUAUUUGAAUUUGAAUUUGGAGCAUGUUUCAAUUUGGAUUCAAAGGAGAAAAUAAAAGGAAAAAGGAUUAGAAAUUCCGGAAUAAAAGAAAUGGGAAAAGAGCCCAGUCGCCCUCCCUCCUCUGCCUUUCGGCCCAAACCGGCCCAGCUAGCUGCGUCCCGCUCGCUCGCUCGCCUCCUCUCUCUCUCUGCCCGGUGGGACCGCCCCGUCAGCGCUGUUGCGCUCUCGUGCGCACCCGAUCUCGUUGGCUCAUGGGCCCUGCCCAUUAGACUUGUCCCCUCCCCCGCAACCACCACGCCCAUGACGUGCGCCCCAUGCACGGUCAAACUGCGCCCACGCCCCCACGAUCCGCCCAUGUUGCUCGAGCGCCUAGGUGAAUACCCCGCGCCCCCCUCAGCUCGCCCCUCCCUCAUUCACUCUCUUCUAGCCCUCGCGCUCACUCAGCCCGCAGCGCCGCCCCCUCUAUUGCUCCAUUGUUCCGCCGUCCUCGCUGGGCCUCUACCGUCGUCUCGGCCACGGUGAGCUUCGCUGGAGCCUUAUGCACUGGGAACACGCAGUGGUUUCCCAUCUCAUCGAUCCCUUUGCCCGGUCCGUGCUCAACCUCUCCCCUGCACAGGUCGGAGUUCGCCACCGCCAUGGUUUCUUGUCGUCCGGCCAUCCAGAGUCCCCUCACGCCGUGCCAAGCCGCCCCGAGUGCGGUAUCUGGGUAUGUGACCUUCCCCCGAUCUUCUUAUACACAUAUUCCAUCUCACCGUGGGUAAUUUCGGCUUGCUAGAGUGGCCUAUGGUCCGCCCAAGGUCCCCCCCUCCGCUGUCCGCCUGUCUCAGCCCCGUUUCAGUGACCCUGACUUCGCCAUAGUGUUCGUCGAGUCCUCCCAAACCUCUUUGGCUACCAGACCACCCUAGCGCCCCUAGAAACCCUGGUCUGUCUCGCCUUCGACGACAGCACCGCCACGACCGUGAACAGCGCCGCCCUAGGCCGACCAGAGCUGAUAAACUCCCCGUGGCGCCCGAUCCUGACCGUUCAUCCUUGAUCCGUUGGCCUAGGUGCUCGGAUAACGGUUCACUCGGUUCAUUGGACCAGGAACGUUGAUUCGAGAUCCGGUGGCCAGAGUGCCUCACGCCCCCACGCAUCAGCGUCUCGCUCUGCCUCGAGCCCCACAUGUCAGGCGUCCACGCCGAGCCCUCGCCCGAGCCGCCAACCACGUUUGCGCCUCGCCCGAGCCCGCUGACCCGCUAGCCCCAUGUGUCAGUGUCUCGUCCCGCCCUGAGACCCGCCUGUCAGGCGCUCACGUCUGCGUGCACGCAUGCACGCGCGCUCGCCAGAUCUAGUUAUGGCCAUUGAUCUGAGAUCUAACGGCUGGCAGGACCCGACACCUCUUUGGUUUGCAGCUUUAUAAAAAGAACCCUCGGUUUCCAAUAAAUAGAACCCGCUGUCCCUGGAAUUUGCAACCGGGCUUCUGGGAUCUUGCAGAAAGAACCCUAGACUUUAUUUUAAUCACAGAAAUAGGUCUAAUUUUGUAUUUUGAAUUCCAAAACUUGUUUAAUUCAUAUCUUUUGCAUAUGAACUCCAAAUUGGGUGGUUCAAAUUGCAAAGUGUUAAUAAAAUUAUUCUCUAUCUGUUUAAAUUAUCAUCUUUCACUGUCUGCAUGUAUUAAUUUUAUGUCUAUGCUAUAGGUGCUUUUAAAGUAAUGGUUCAUUAUUUAAAAGGAAAUAAAAAGGAAAACACUAAUGAUAAUUAAGUGAUUAACUUUGUGAAGUUAAUAUCAUGUAAUGUAUGAACCCAUCUCUGGUAUAGAUUUAAUAAUCCAUUAAGAUGACUAUAGUAAGUUAUGUAAUCCACUGAUAUAAGCAGUACUAAGAGAACCACAAACCCCUAAGUGUAUUUGUAUAUCCUAGGAUCUAAAUUUCACACUGGUGUCUGUACUUUUCUAUUGGAUUUGUGUUCACAUGAUUGCAAAUGUUUGGUGUAUUAUUCCUUUAUCAUUUCCCAAAUGUGUUGAAUGCAUGAUUGCGUUGCGUAGACAACGAGAAGUUUGUGGUUCCUGAGUGUGUUGCUAGAGACCUCCCUCAGCAGCAACCUAGUGAAGGCAAGUGUCCUCUUACCCAUUAUGUCCUACCUACUUUAAAAUUCACUAUCCCGCAUUACUUAAUUGAAACCUAAGGAUUGACUAGCUUUGUAUUUACCUUGUCCUUGAUUACCUUUUGGGUUAUUAUGGUUAGCUUCAUGCUAUUGCUUUACUUUAAUCAACGAACAUGAUGAGAAUAUUUAUGAUACGAUGAUGCUAUCUUGAUGAUGAUGAUGAUUUGUGAUACUUAAGGGGACUCGGGCUGUUUCCUGAGUACCUCUUCGUAAGGACCUGUUCAUUGAGAGACCACCCGAGAUAACAUUACAACCAUGGGGGUGGAAUGGGAUGCCCUUAGCUGGAUAAUUAGAGGAACUUGAGGUGUAGUCGGCUUUGUCGUAGGGCCGUCAAUGGGGUCCGAGCAUAGUACUUGCUCUGCCGAGGCUGGAUACCGAGGUUCUUUCAAUUUGGUUUUGUUAGUCACCCUUCCUAUGGGGAGAAGUACUGUGUUUAUCAAAAUGAAGAAACCUAACGAGAUGCUAUGACCUCUGGGGAAUCUUUGUAAAGGCUACAUAGUGAAACCUUGUCUACUCACCUUGGUAGUGUUUGAGGGUUUGAUCGACCCGAGGCAAAAAGGGAUCAUGACUCGUGGGUAAAGUGUGCAACUUCUAAAGAGUGUUAGAAACCAGUAUAUCAGUCGUGCUCACGGUUAAGAUUAGCAUUGGGAUCCUUCUUUAUUAGAAUAAUUCUAGAUACUUUUAUGAUGAUGAUUAAUGGUGAUGAUUACAACUGUGGUCUCUGGUAUUUCCUCUGGGAGGUAGUACUUUUGGGUAAUAACUAGGUUUAUUACUAAGGGCAUGUUUGGUUUGUGCCUAAAUGUGCCACACUUUGCCUAAGGUUAGUCGUUCGAAUUGAAUAACUAACCUUAGGCAGAAAAGUUAGGCAAAAUGUGGCAAUUGAGGUAACAAACCAAACAUGCCCUAAAACUUGGCUUACUACUAGUAAUAAAUACCUAACCAACAAAAAGCAACUGCUUUAACCUUAACCCCACAUACAGCUAGUCCACUUUAGCCAAUGGGACAUUUGCUGAGUAUGUUGAUCUGUACUCACCCUAGCUUUAAAACCCCCCAACCCAGGUUGUCCCUAUUGCAAUCAGUGCUCAGGAGGAGAUGAAGGCAACAUGGAGGAAUUUCAGGAGUUUCAGGACUUCGAUGAGUUCUAGUUGUGUUUAGUGGCAAACCCCCAGCCAGCUGCCUGUGAAGGCCUUAUCUUCUACAUUUUGUAUCCACACUUUGAUUAUGUUGAUGACUAUGUUAAGUUAAUGACUCUGUGGAUGUCUUGGACAUCUUGAUGUAAUAAAGUACUAUUCCCGCUAUUUACUUUGAGCAAUGUCUGAUGAUGUCCAACUAUGUAAUCGCUGUGUACGUGAGUUUCUGAUCUUGGCACGUACAUGGUUCACAUUCAGUUUGCCUUCCAAAACCGAGUGUGACAUAAGUGGUAUCAAAGCCUUACUGAUUGUAGGAACACUAACCUAGACUAGAAUGGUCGCCCUAAGGACUAUAGACCCUUGUUCUCACCUUGACCUUUGGUGUCACUUCAAAAGUUGGUCAUCUUGACCAAUUCUAUGUUAUAUUAUUAUCUAUAUACUCAUCUUACAAAUUUUUUAUCUCACUUUGCUUUUGGUUUACUUGCUGGUCACAUAGUUCUAUUCUCACUCUUGUGCUUACGAUAUCUUUUGUAGAUGGUCCGUCUUAGAUGCACUGCACGUAAGUCAGUGAUCCCUUUCUUGCACUCUCGCCUUGCGGAAUGUCCACUGCGCCGCACGAUGACAGGACAAUUGAGUCACCUGGAGAGACUGCACCGACACCUGCACGAGAAGUAGGAGCAUCGGCGCCAGGAGCAGCAGGACUCUUCCCCCUCGCCCCAGCAGGAGGUGGAGUCUGGAGGCGGCCCUCCACUGUGUCUCAGCUAGAGGUGCCCCUGCACCACCAUAGGGCACCCUAGCUGCUAGAGGAGACCCUUACGAAGAUGACGAUGACGGUGAUAGUUCGAGCCACAACAUGGAGCUUUCGGAGGAGCAGGAGUCGUAAGGAUGGAUCGCCCAACCCAUCACUUGUGACACCGCCCGCGGUUGUCAUUUCCACGAUGCUCUCGACACCUUGCUGCAUCAGGCCUUCGACCGACACACUUGGUCUAUUGAGUACCGUUGUGUAGUCUACCAGCACCGUCAUGAGUUAUACUUGGACCAAUGGGAGGCUACUUGCUUGGUGUGUCGUCCGGACGAUGAUCUCCGGGGUGCAGAGGCCUACUUAGAGCAUUAUUCUAUCACUAAGCGAGACACUGUCGAGGCAACCAUGUAGGAUGCUGCAUGGCGUGCGCUUUUGCAGUACUUUUCGUUGUUCAGCAGGGUAGCUGACGGCCUUGACCUGAAGUAUUACCCCUGCCGUUCGACCGGCAGUACCGGAGGUGUGAUUGUCUCACCAUAUGGCGAGGGAAAACCCAAACUAGGCAGUAUGGUGUCACACCCCAGUUCUGGGGGCAAAACCGAAUGCAUAGCAUAUGUGGGCCAGGAUCCAUUUCCCACACAUAUAUUGACAUCACAAGUGUAAUAUAUCAAAAUACAAUGCAAUAAAGGCGUAAAGAGAGUAGAGUACUUUAUUACAUCAUCUGAAUCAAUGUAUCUUUAACAAGUAUCAAAAUCAAAGUAGGGCGGAAUUAAAUAUGGGCACUCUUCCACAAGAAGAUGACAGGCGCAUCGUUAGACUUAAAACUCAUCAUCGUCAUCAGCAAAGUCUUCAGCAUCACCCUCUGAUCAAAAUAUUAGUAAGGGUGAGCUCACUUAUGGUCGGGGCUCAGCAAGUGGGGGAAAUUAAUGCAAGUCAAAAAGGUAGGCUAUGGAUAAGCGGUAAGCAUUUUAGUUGGUCAAUAUUUUAUUAGCAACACCUGUACUACUAAUUGUAGCAUCCCAAAAAUUCAAAUUCUAAAAUAUUCUCAAACUCGCUCUAAAUUCAAAAUGAAUUUCAAAUUUUGUUUCAAAAUGUUUGUUUGCAAGUUGAUAUCAACAAGUAAAGUACAGUGGUCUAUAUUCUCUCUAAAAUCCUCCUCAAAGUAUCCUACAAAUAUUUCCCUAGUGAUCCCCCUCAAAUUCUUCCAGAAAUACCGCCCAGAUAUUUCCCGAGUGAUCCCCUUCAAGUUCUUUCAGAAAUACUACCCAAAUAUUCCACCGAUAUAUCUCCAAGUAUUUUCUUCCUAAGAAAUACCUUCAGAAUCAUUUUUCAAGCCCCCACAAAUAUUUUCUUCAUAACUUUCUUCAUGCUCAUACGUAUACGUAUGCCUCCGGUGUCAUACGUUGAGCUCUACAAGCUAAUUACACUCAUAUAAGACAAAUCCAUGCUAAUCUCCCACUAAUCCUCUAAUCCCUCCCCCUAAUCCCCCCACCAUGGCUAUAAAUAGAGGGGCAAGGGCCUCCUCUCAUCCCACCCCAAGCCAUUUCAUGGCAACUCCCUCUCUCCCCCCCACACACCCACUCCAUGUUCCACACAAGCACACACUAGCACAAGGAUCGUUCGGUCGUUCUUCGAUCGUUCGUCCCCCUGUUCUUAGUUGUUCGUUCAUUCGUCCGAUCGUUUGAUCGUUCGUCCGAUCGUUCAUGGUUCGUUCGUCCGUUCGUCCGAUCGUUCGAUCGUUCGUCCGUUCGUUCGUCCAAAUAAUCUUUUUCCUGCCGUUAUGCUACCGAAAUUCCGUUCGUCCGUUCGUUCGAUCAUUCAAUCGUUCAUCGUUUGUUCAUAGUUCCUAUUCAUCGUUCAUCGUUCGUUCAUCGUCACUAUUUACCGUCACUAUUUUACCGUUACUAUUUACCGUUACUAUUUACCGACACUAUUUUACCGUUACUAUUUACCGUUACUAUUUACCGUCACUAUUUCUCGUCACUAUUUUACCGUCACUAUUUACCGUUACUAUUUUACCGUCACUAUUUACCAUUACUAUUUACCGUCACUAUUUACCGUCACUAUUUUACCGUUACUAUUUACCGUUACUAUUCACCGUUACUAUUUAUCGAUCAUCCGAUCACCCCAAAUUUCAACUACUCAUCCAUCAUGCUGUCCAGUCCACCUAAGACCAGCCAGACCCAUAUUCCAGUUAUACAAACUCCGGUGACUGUGAUUUUCCUUCCAGUGGGAACUUCCCAUCUGGUCACCCAUCCUAGGUUUCUCCAAGUUGAGCACGCUUAACUUGAGAUUCCUUCGAACCAGGCUUCCAAACUCAGAUUCCAAUAAUUCUCGUUUCUAAAUUCUUAUCAAAUUAUUCCCUAUCCAACCAUGUCAUCCCUUAAGCAUGGUUCAUAUUCCAGAAAACUCCCAAAAUACUCUCAUAUUCUGCCUAUAACUCUCCUGUUCAUACUAAGUCAGACGAUUCAUUCGUCACUAUUCUCACCAACAGUGAACUUCACUGUGCUACACCACAUACACCCAGCUAUAAAUACACCCAGCUACCCUCUCCCUCUCCACACACACUCAACACCCUCAGCCAAGGAAAACACCCCACCCACUCAGUUACUCCGCUCUGCCGGCUACACGCAUAGUGUCGCUUCGCCUCUAGUCCACCCUCUUGUUAUCGGAGCGUUCGUGUCGUCUCGUGGAGGCCAGAUCUGCAAGUCUACACCAGGCGGUGGAGCCAGAAGCCAGUUCCGCGAGCUCUUCUCCCCCCUUCGCCGAAUAAGCACGACAAGCUCACUGGAUCCCUUUGAUGCAUAAAUUACCUAUGCUUUUACAACCACAACCCUCAGCCUGUUAUUUUAUGCAUGAUAUGAUUUUGAGACAAGUUAUUAUGGCCACCCAGCCGCUUGCCACAAUCAAUACUUGAUAUAUUUGUUACAAAUGAUUUGAGAAAAGGUGUGAGUUUUCAAAAGAAAAUGCUUUUCAAAAUGUGUAUGAUGAAGGGUUUUCACCCUUAUCACCUUGUGAGUGGGAUAAUCAGGGACUCCCUGGUUUAGGGGAGGGCCUAAGGUGAAGGCUCAGCUGGUUUAGGCGUGAGCAAAAGGAUUGUCCCCUCAUAUAAGGACCGAUUUGUCAUCUUUCACUACCUGUACUCAUGAUAAGUACAACCACUCGAGACUGUGUGGGCAGUCACUCAAUCUGAACUCAUACGGUCCAACCCCAGGGUUAUGAAGGCUGGGGAGCACCGGGAGGAUAAGGAGGGGGAAUGUUUUGUCCGGUUUGGACAUGGUGGUGGCCUGACUCCUUCCGGUAUAACCGUUAAGGUUAGGAUGUGCGAGGAAAGAAAGAGAUUCAGCAUUUGGGUCUCACGACGGUGAGAUCGCAGAAACCGGACUAGUGGGUAAAGUGUACACCUCUGCGCAGAGUUUGAAAACCUAUUCGAAUAGUCCGUGUCCACAGGAAUGGACGAGUCUGGUAUGGUAUGGCAAUUAAUGUUUUGUUUUCAUAAAAGGCUACGUUUGAGAAAAUGUUUUUUUAAAAAGGUUCGGCGGUUGAGCCGUGAGCUAUGGUGGAUGGGAAGUCUAGUAGCUGUUUUUGAAAAUGAAAACCAGUGGGAAACUACUGAGAUACCUGGAUGGUUUAGUCCAGGGGAUUUUGUUCUAAUAUUGAAAAACUUCUCGCUCCUUUGGGAGAGGAUGCGCUUUGGAAAAUACAAAAUGUUUUACAAAACAACCCUGCAUAAAAUAUUGUUGUUUCUGCAAAAUAUCCUGAGCUCCAGAUAUUCCAUGCAUUAUAUCUGAUUUCCCCAUUCCGCGAGUGAAGGUGGGCUGCUGAGUACGUUUGUACUCACCCUUGCUUAUUUAUUUUUUUUCAGAAAAAGGAGAUCGGGUAAGAGUUACGACUGUUCCCAACCUUGCUUGUGGCUGCUGGACCGCUGAUUUGCUUCGCUGUGUAUAUCGGACUGCUUCAGCCCCACUCUGAUGAUAUGUCCCGAGUUGUGGACCAACUCUUAAAGUUGAUCGCCACCUUUAUAGGUUUGUCUCGUUUAAGCAGAUCUGUAAUCAUCUGAUGUAUAAAUGUGUUUACUAGCCUCCUGGGACUAGUAAUUGUAUCACAUUUGAGUCCAAGAGGAUUGGGGCGCUUCAGGUGGUAUCAGAGCUAUUAGGUUGGCCGCAGGACGUAACCCUUAGCCUGAUCAAAAGUUUUUGAGUUAAAACUAUUUUCUUAAAAAAAUUCUUGCUCUCAUCCCUUCAUUUCAAAAAUGUUUUCCCCCUUUCCUUCUCUCAGAAGUCAGAUGAAGGUUCAGUGCCAAACCAGCUUUUGCCAGAAUGAAGAUGGUUUCCCCAUGUUGCUGAGAGCAUGCAUAGUCCGCCUCGGAAUCAGGAGCCAACCAGAGUAUGACGGUCGUGAAUUCAUCGAGCAUGGCACAGAGAAGUGUGUCGUGACUGUGUACAUUGGAUCCAGUCCGCACCAUGUGGAAUGGAGUGUCACUGCUGCUGGGCACAGAUUCAAAGACACCUGCCAAGUCGUCGCUCGCAAGGCAUUGAGGACCCUAUGUCAGAUCUAUGAAGAAGAAGUGGCCGACACCCCGCUCAGAUUCUUUCCACCCUUUCAGAGAGACCGUCCCGUUUGGAUGGCUAGGAUGCGUGCAUUGGAAGAGCAGCAGCUGCUUGAAGAUGACCCCACAGUCGUGUACCUCACUACAUACCUGCUCACCCUGGAUGCGCAGUAUGAUUUCUUGGCUCGGCACCACCGUCAGAUGAUUGCCCGAGCAGAAGAUGCAGAGAAGCUCAACCGUAAGCUCCAUGUGGAUCUCACCUCAGCUCAAGCCCGUGUAGCUGCCUUGGAAAGUCGUGAAGCCAUUGCUGUUGAAACCCUGAAGCAAGCCAAGGAUGAGCACGUCCAGAAGUUGAUGGAGGCCUACUUGGUAACCCAUAACCAACGUAGAGCCCUGCGGAUCCAAGAGCCUGCUUCAUCCAACCCAGUUCAACCCAUGAGAGCUGAAGAUCCCCCGAUUCUUGAAGGUUACCCGGUCUCUACCAGAGGAGAAAAGAAGGUUUGGAAACUCCCGAAAGGAUCCAUAGUCUUGGAAGGAAUUCCAAUCUUCCCUCAGGCUAUGAAUAAGCAAGAGCACCCCGAGUCCUCCCAAGAUCCCCGCCGGAGUUGUUUGAGCCCCUUACCAUGAAGAAGAUUCCAGCACCAUCCCUUGAAGUCAAGGAAGAAGCUGCAAGCACCCCGCCAACACCGCUGCCCUCUGAGGAACUACAAGAGUCAGUCCAGCUUGAAGAAGAGUUCGACCCCGUGCUGCCAUCUCAGUUGCCGACAGAAGAAGUAAUGAACAUCAGCUCCCUCUUGACCCAUCCAGGAGAUGUCUCAGAUUGAAGUUGUGCGCCAGCCUUGCCAGAAGAGAAGUUGUCUGGUCUGAAGUUAGUUAUGCCCAGUCCUCUACAUGCAUUGGGUAGUGAAGUUUUUCUUCACUUUGGCUAGAGCCCUACAUGUAUGAGAGGUAAUCGCGUAGACUCGUGUUUUGCAAAACUCUAAUUGUGUGGCCCCCUAGGGCAUUUCAAAAUGAAUUUCGCUUGAUGUUUUCUCCCCUUUUGAGUGCAUAUGUGAUGCUUUAACGUUAGUGCUCAUAAGUCGCAUUUUAGCAUAGUUCUCAGUUCAGGAGCCGAGCAAUAGUAGUUAUGCUUAGCCCCCGAAUCCAAGUAGUUCGUGAUUUGGAAAAACUCUAUUCUUCCCUUAUUCAAAACAUUUGAUUUGUUUGUGCUUAUCAUUGCUGAACUUAUGUGUUUUCUUUCUUUUUAAGAAAGGUUUUCUCUAAAAACAUAAAUCACAAAUUAGAUCUAAUCCUCACCUUAUGCUUCCAUUCUCAUCUUAACCAAUCUCAAGAGAAAAGUGCCUUACCCAAGAAGAUACCGGGAAGCUUACCCUUGAAGCCUGGAAUAAGCUAUAGAAGAAACCAGUCCAGCCGCUCAGUCAAAAGGACCGACCAUGAGAAUCAAAGCACUGCCCCUGAGUCAAAGUAAACAGAAAAAGAGGACAGAAGGAGUUAUUACCAUAUAGAGAGGCAAAGAUUCUUGGAACCAGAGACCACAAACAUCAGGGUCAUCGACCCCACCACUCACCCGUGCCCCCGCACGCAUGCCCGCCUCCAUGCGCACUACCACGCCCCCCUUUGCAGCGCACCCACCGCCAUCGUCGCCGGCAACAGGCCCCCCUUCCCCUUGUCACACCUGCUGCCUCGUGUCACCUGCUCCAUCACUACCACUCCACACCCCCCAAGCACCCCCGCUCGCCUAUAAAACCCCCCACCAGCACCCUCAACUCCCAUCUCGCUCAAAGCAAAGCACACUCCAGAUAAAACCCCCUCUGCUAAAUCGCAAGCAACCCCAUUUCCCACUCCCUCGCCCCUAAGAUCACAAUGCUUGGUGAUUCUUGGGUUGAAGACUGUUGCACAUGGUUCAUAGUCUUUGGUUUCCUCCAGUGUAUGAUGGUAAUACUCUUUGAUAGAAUCCUCCAGUGGGAAGAGCAAAGAGAAAGAAAGAGACAGUGAAAAGUGAAAAGAGAAAAGAAGAUAGCAAAGAGAAGAUGAGAAGAAGGUUGUCCCAGAAUCAACCCUGUGUCAGUCAUUUCUCCGCAGCCUGCUCAAGCAACAACAGCACAAGAAGGCCCCAUAACACCCUUGUUAUGAGGUACUUCAAAGAGUUCAAAUCCCCAAGAUUCAAUAGUUCCACCCUCAUUCUUUUUAAGUGGGGUAGUGUUCCAGUAAGGUUCCUGCUAUGGAGAAAAAGAAGAAGGCCUGUAGCAAGCUUGUGGAGGACCAGAUCAUCGAAGCAUAUAAGUUCCUGGAUGAGAAGUGGUCACCCAAGUUUUGUUGAUGAAGCACCAGAAGACCAAUCAAGGAAGGAAUCCAUGUGGGAGUUCGCGAGAGAAAGGUUGCAUGUUGGCAUCGUUGCUUCUUCAAUAAGCUAGCUGCCAAGCGAAAGCUAGAAGCCUGAAGAUGAUCUUUGAUUAGCCAGAAUCAGCGUUUGCAAUCAGCAACCGGAUGCCCCUCAAAGGCCAGAUUUUGUUGAAGCUCUAUCUUCUCGAAAAGUUUGCAAAGUGAAGAUAUGUAGCUGAAGUAAAGAUAUACACAUAACCCUUCUAAGCCGAAUCUUGAGGACAAGAUUCCUUUUAAGUGGGGUAGAUUUGUAGCAUCCCAAAAAUUCAAAUUCUAAAUAUUCUCAAACUCGCUCUAAAUUCAAAAUGAAUUUCAAAUUUUGUUUCAAAAUGUUUGUUUGCAAGUUGAUAUCAACAAGUAAAGUACAGUGGUCUAUAUUCUCUCCAAAAUCCUCCUACAAAUAUUUCCCCAGUGAUCCCCCUCAAAUUCUUCCAGAAAUACCGCCCAGAUAUUUCCCGAGUGAUCCCCUUCAAGUUCUUUCAGAAAUACUACCCAAAUAUUCCACCGAUAUAUCUCCAAGUAUUUUCUUCCUAAGAAAUACCUUCAGAAUCAUUUUUCAAGCCCCCACAAAUAUUUUCUUCAUAACUUUCUUCAUGCUCAUACGUAUACGUAUGCCUCCGGUGUCAUACGUUGAGCUCUACAAGCUAAUUACACUCAUAUAAGACAAAUCCAUGCUAAUCUCCCACUAAUCCUCUCAUCCUGCCACUAAUCCUCUCAUCCCUCCCCCUAAUCCCCCCACCAUGGCUAUAAAUAGAGGGGCAAGGGCCUCCUCUCAUCCCACCCAAAGCCAUUUCAUGGCAACUCCCUCUCUCCCCCCCACACACCCACUCCAUGUUCCACACAAGCACACACUAGCACAAGGAUCGUUCGGUCGUUCUUCGAUCGUUCGUCCCCCUGUUCUUAGUUGUUCGUUCGUUCGUCCGAUCGUUUGAUCGUUCGUCCGAUCGUUCAUGGUUCGUUCGUCCGUUCGUCCGAUCGUUCGUCCGUUCGUUCGUCCAAAUAAUCUUUUUCCUGCCGUUAUGCUGCCGAAAUUCCGUUCGUCCGUUCGUUCGAUCAUUCGAUCGUUCAUCGUUCGUUCAUAGUUCCUAUUCAUCGUUCAUCGUUUAUUCAUCGUCACUAUUUUACCGUCACUAUUUACCGUUACUAUUUACCGUCACUAUUUUACCGUGACUAUUUUACCGUUACUAUUUACCGUUACUAUUUACCGUUACUAUUUCCCGUUACUAUUUCCCGUCACUAUUUUACCGUCACUAUUUUACCGUUACUAUUUACCGUCACUAUUUACCGUUACUAUUUACCGUCACUAUUUUACCGUUACUAUUUACCGUUACUAUUUACCGUUACUAUUCAUCGAUCAUCCGAUCAACCCAAAUUUCAACUACUCAUCCAUCAUGCUGUCCAGUCCACCUAAGACCAGCCAGACCCAUAUUCCAGUUAUACAAACUCCGGUGACUGUGAUUUUCCUUCCAGUGGGAACUUCCCAUCUGGUUACCCAUCCUAGGUUUCUCCAAGUUGAGCACGCUUAACUUGAGAUUCCUUCGAACCAGGCUUCCAAACUCAGAUUCCAAUAAUUCUCGUUUCUAAAUUCUUAUCAAAUUAUUCCCUAUCCAACCAUGUCAUCCCUUAAGCAUGGUUCAUAUUCCAGAAAACUCCCAAAAUACUCUCAUAUUCUGCCUAUAACUCUCCUAUUCAUACUAAGUCAGACGAUUCAUUCGUCACUAUUCUCACCAACAGUGAACUUCACUGUGCUACACCACAUACACCCAGCUACCCUCUCCCUCUCCACACACACUCAACACCCUCAGCCAAGGAAAACACCCCACCCACUUAGUUACUCCGCUCUGCCGGCUACACGCAUAGUGUCGCUUCGCCUCUAGUCCACCCUCUUGUUAUCGGAGCGUUCGUGUCGUCUCGUGGAGGCCAGAUCUGCAAGUCUACGCCAGACGGUGGAGCCAGAAGCCAGUUCCGCGAGCUCUUCUUCCCCCUUCGCCGAAUAAGCACGGCAAGCUCACUGGAUCCCUUUGAUGCAUAAAUUACCUAUGCUUUUACAACCACAACCCUCAGCCUGUUAUUUUAUGCAUGAUAUGAUUUUGAGACAAGUUAUUAUGGCCACCCAACCGCUUGCCGCAAUCAAUACUUGAUAUAUUUGUUACAAAUGAUUUGAGAAAAGGUGUGAGUUUUCAAAAGAAAAUGCUUUUCAAAAUGUGUAUGAUGAAGUGUUUUCACCCUUAUCACCUUGUGAGUGGGAUAAUCAGGGACUCCCUGGUUUAGGGGAGGGCCUAAGGUGAAGGCUCAGCUGGUUUAGGCGUGAGCAGAAGGAUUGUCCCCUCAUAUAAGGACCGGUUUGUCAUCUUUCACUACCUGUACUCAUGAUAAGUACAACCACUCGAGACUGUGUGGGUAGUCACUCAAUCUGAACUCGUACGGUCCAACCCCAGGGUUAUGAAGGCUGGGGAGCACCGGGAGGAUAAGGAGGGGGAAUGUUUUGUCCGGUUUGGACAUGGUGGUGGCCUGACUCCUUCCGGUAUAACCGUUAAGGUUAGGAUGUGCGAGGAAAGAAAGAGAUUCGGCAUUCGGGUCUCACGACGGUGAGAUCGCAGAAACCGGACUAGUGGGUAAAGUGUACACCUCUGCGCAGAGUUUGAAAACCUAUUCGAAUAGUCCGUGUCCACAGGAAUGGACGAGUCUGGUAUGGUAUGGCAAUUAAUGUUUUGUUUUCAUAAAAGGCUACGUUUGAGAAAAUGUUUUUUAAAAAAGGUUCGGCGGUUGAGCCGUGAGCUAUGGUGGACGGGAAGUCCAGUAGCUGUUUUUGAAAAUGAAAACCAGUGGGAAACUACUGAGAUACCUGGAUGGUUUAGUCCAGGGGAUUUUGUUCUAAUAUUGAAAAACUUCUCGCUCCUUUGGGAGAGGAUGCGCUUUGGAAAAUACAAAAUGUUUUACAAAACAACCCUGCAAAAAAUAUUGCUGUUUCUGCAAAAUAUCCUGAGCUCCAGAUAUUCCAUGCAUUAUAUCUGAUUUCCCCAUUCCGCGGGUGAAGGUGGGCUGCUGAGUACGUUUGUACUCACCCUUACUUAUUUAUUUUUUUUCAGAAGAAGGAGAUCGGGUAAGAGUUACGACUGUUCCCAACCUUGCUUGUGGCUGCUGGGCCGCUGAUUUGCUUCGCUGCGUAUAUCGGGCUGCUUCAGCCCCACUCUGAUGAUAUGUCCCGAGUUGUGGACCAACUCUUAAAGUUGAUCGCCACCUUUAUAGGUUUGUCUCGUUUAAGCAGAUCUGUAAUCAUCUGAUGUAUAAAUGUGUUUACUAGCCUCCUGGGACUAGUAAUUGUAUCACAUUUGAGUCCCAGAGGAUUGGGGCGCUUCACUAAUAAGUGUGCAUCCCCAGUAUCCCAAUUGAUCAAAGAUAUAAGAAUAUAUCAAAAGCACUUAAGUGAAACCACUUAAGCAAACCAUUGGUAGAUCAUCAGAUCUUGAUUUAUUGUCCAUCUUUAAGUUCAAUUAUCAUGUGAGGGUCAACGUUGCUCUUAACCGUGAGCAUGGCUGACAUAUCAGUUUUACACUCUACAGAGGUGGUACAACUUUACCCAUAAGCCAUGUAUACCAUCUAGCCUGGGUUGAUUGGACCCGUAAACACUGCCGAGGUGAAUGCCUAGGGAUCCAUUAUGAGGCUUUCACAAAUAUCCUUAGUACAAAGCCACCCGCUAAGGUUUCCACGUCAGUAUUAAUGGCCCUGUAGUGAGGUAACUUAGCCAAGACUACCACCCCAUGUUAACAUGAGCUGCCACCAAACCACUGCCGCCCCCUCUUGCCCAUCUUUCAGGUAGGGUUGCUAAGCACUAAGUCUAUAGAGCUAAUUAUCAAAGCUAGAGCCAUGAUAGCACUCGUGGUUGCACUGUUAUCUUGGAUGGUCACUCCAUGCUCCAUUUAACACAAAAUGUUCUUGUUUAACCAUCGGGUUAACAUCAUAAUAAAACUUCAUUUCCGGAACAUAGUAUCAUUAAAAGAGUGACAUCAUAUUCAUCAUGUUGAGCAAUAGCAAAAAUUGAUAAGCAAAGCAUUUAUCCCAGGGUAAUUCACGGAAUAGGGUUGGUAAUUCUAGGAAAUCCUUAUUUAGGCAAAUCCCAUCAAAUUAUGCAAUAUAUCCAAAAAGUAAACAUUAUUAUAUGCAUUAAUUGGGUACAAAUAGAAUAUGUAGAGGGAGAAUCCACUUGUCUUGCUCGAAAGUGUCCUGUGGGUCAUCCUCGAACGAGUUUGGUUCGUCUACCUCACAGUCAACUUCUAGCAUCGAUUUGCGUAUCGUACAUACAAAAAGAAUACGUUCGCCAAAUAAAUAAACACACGCCAUUACAGGGGUAAUCAUUCACCAUUACAUUCACAUUCAUGCAUCACACAUUUAUACUCAUAAAUACGUUUUAAAGCGUAAAUACUUAUUAAUCCAUUAUGACUACUACUGUGAGUUAUUAUUGGUGAAAAUAUGAGUAAGUGACUAUGACACUAGUUUUAUCUAGUAAAAUAUAGAUAAACAUAUAUUAACAAUUUUUAUGGAAAAUAAUUGCUAAUCAUUUUCUUUCUUACUAAUAAUAGACUUUUGAGUUUUAUCCCUUUUAUUUCUAAAUAGAAAUGAUAUGUGUAGCUAAAAAUCAUUUAUUUAUAAUUCUUCUAACAUUAAUAUUCUAAGAAUUAAUGUAAAUUACUAAUUGGAAUUUUAAUAACAUAAUCAUGGUUAUUAUGACAUCAACAAGUAUUUUACUAAUUCUAAGUAAUCAAGUGCUAUACUUAUGAAUACAUUUAUCAUGACUAGCAAAAUUUAUAUUUUCCAUCUGACCGAGAAUACGUGGCCUAGUAUUUCUUCUACUUUCUUUUAUCAAUAAAAUUAUACUUAAAACACUACUAACAAUUAUCAUUCAUGUGCUAAAGCGAGAUCAAUCAUAAUCGUCUCUAGUAUAAAAAUAACCAAGUUAGUGACUAGUGACGUAAUUUAUUUUUGAAAUAUAAAUUCAUACACCUGUCAAAAUAUUUUUGCAAGGCUUGUUUAUGAUUACACGUAUACGUCGGAGCCUCUUUUCGGUAAUUUCUAAACUAAAAAUCUCGAAAUUAAUUUAAUUUACAAAACUAGGAACUAAAAUGUAAAAUGUGCUUCUUCUACCUUGAGCUAGAGCUCACGAGCGGGGAUGGAGAUCGACGGGGGAGGGAGUUCGGCCGGGCAGAGGAGAAGGGACUCAGUCGUGGGGCGCGGACGGGGGAACGGGCGCGGACGGCGAGGUUCGACGACAAAGCUCCGGCGAGGCGCGGACGGUGGGGCAGACGGUCCGACGGACGGGCGAGCGCGGGCAAAUUCGAGAGCGAGGAGAGCGAGAGAGAGAGAGAAAGCUCAGGGAGGGAGAGAGGAAGGGAGUCCGGCUGCUUUUAUAGAGCGAGAGGGGAGAGGAGAGGGCGAGCCGGGAAGAGAAACGACCGGUCUUCAACUCCAUCAAUGGUGGCGGCCAUUAACGACGCCAUUAGGGAGAGAACGUGGGGGAGGGAGAGAUAGGGUCGGGCGGCGGUUUCCGGCUCAGUGUGGCGCGGAUGUCGAGGGCGCGAGGCGUGCGGGCGCGACGCGGUGGCGGCGACGCGGGAGGGAGAAGAGAGAGGGGGCCGCGGUGGGGCCCAUCCGUAAGAGAGAGGGAGGGGAUAGGGCGCGGCCGGUUGGGCCCUGGUGGGCCGAAAUGGCCGGUCGGCUAGGGUUUCUUUCUUUCUUUCUUUUCUUUUCUAUUUAAAAAUAUAAAUAUAUUUAAAAAUCAUAAUUAUUAUACCAAAAUUAUUUAUAACUAAAAUAAUUAUUUUUGGACCAAUAUUUUUAUAUUAAUUAAUUGGAUUUAUAAUAUAGAAGAAAUUCUAUUCAACGUCCAAAAAUCAAAUAUGAGCAAACAAAAUUAUUCUAAAUGUAAAUAAACAUCGAACACUUGAAUGAAAAUUCAUUACCAUAUUUACCAUUAAUAAACUAAAUGCAUUAUUUUUAGUUGAUGGUUUUUAUAGUGUUACAAACCUACCCCCUUAAAAGAAUCUCGUCCUCUAGAUUAAGGAACUUCUGAGAAUAACUGGGGAAAUUCUGCUCUGAGUUUAUCUUCUCUUUCCCAAGUGGCCUCAUCUUCCAAAUGAUGACUCCACUAAACUUUGCACAUGUUGACAACUUUACUCCGUGUAAUUCUGCGAGAUGUUUCCAAAAUUCUAAUAGGGUACUCCGAAUAAGUCAAAUCCUCCUUAACAUUGAGUUCUUCCAUAGGAAAUUGUUCCUCCGGUACUCUUAAGCAUUUAUUAAGUUGUGACACAUGAAAUACGUCAUGCACAUCCAUCAAACUAUCGGGUAGCUCUAACUGGUACGCUACUUCACCUUUUCUUUCCAAAAUCUUGAACGGGCCAAUGUAGCGAGGACAUAGUUUACCCUUAACCUUAAAUCUUUUCAUGCCUCUCAUCGGUGAAAGUUUAAGGUAUACGAAGUCUCCUACUUCAAAUAUCAAUUCUCUUCUUCUAUUGUUAGCAUAGCUUUUCUAUCUCGACUGUGCUGUUUUCAGAUUCUCUCUGAUAAUAUGUACUUGCUUUUCUGCUUCUUGGAGAAUUUCUAGACCAAAUACUUGACUUUCUCCGGUCUGGUUCCAAUAAAGCGGUGUUUCUACACUUUCGUCCAUAAAGUGCUUCAAACGGUGCUAUUUUUAAACUUGCCCAGUAACUAUUGUUAUACGAGAAUUCUGCAUAAGGCAAACUUUUAUUCCAGCUUCUACCAAGCUUUAGAGCGCAAGCUUUUAGCAUAUCUUCCAACACUUGGUUUGUUCUUUCCGUUUGCCCAUCCGUUUGCGAAUGAUAAGCUAAACUAAAGUUUAGCUUGGUAUCCAUGGACUCAUGUAGUAUUUUUCCAAAAGUGUGAGGUAAAUUGGGUUCCUCGAUCCGAUAAGAUCUUCUUUGGUACUCCGUGCAGACAAACAAUUCUUGACAUGUAUAACUCUGCUAACUGGGCUCCUAAGUAAGUUGUUUUUACAGGUAUAAAGUGUGCCACUUUAGUCAACCUGUCCACUAUAACCCAUAUUGAAUCAUAGCCAUCCCGAGUACGGGGUAGUCCAACUAUGAAAUCCAUAGUGAUUCCUUCCCAUUUCCAUUCCGGUACUUUGAGAAGUUGUAGCAAUCCUGCUGGUCUUUGAUGUUCGACAUUUAACUUGUUGACACACGUCACAUAGUGCAACAUGAGUAGCCACAUCUCUUUUCAAACUGUACCUCCAAUACUUUUCCUUAAGAUCCUGGUACAUCUUAGUACUUCUAGGGUGAAUAGAAUAAGUUGAAUCAUGGGCUUCUCUUAAGAUAAGUUGGCGUAGGUGCUAGAUUUCUGGUACACAAAUUCUCUUUUUAAACCAUACUGUGCCUUGAUCAUCUUCUGUGAAAUAUGGGGCUUUUCCCAAACUAAUUUGUGUCUUAAUUUCCUUGAUUUUCUCAUUAGUCUCCUGUCCUUUACGAAUCUCUUCUUCUAAAGUAGAUUCAACUUCCAUAACUGUUGCUUCCAUAUUAUUGAGCAUACCAAGGUUGAGUUGUUCCAUCUCCCAGCACAAUUCUUGUGACAUCAAAUGAGUAGUGAUGUUGUUCACUUGACCUUUACGACUCAAAGCGUCAGCCACUACAUUUGCUUUACCUGGGUGAUAUUGUAUUUCCAAAUCAUAGUCCUUGAUUAACUCAAGCCAUCUUCUUUAUCUUAAGUUGAGUUCUUUCUGCGUGAAGAUGUAUUUCAAGCUUUUGUGAUCCGUGAAGAUUUUACACUUGUUUCCAAUCAUGUAGUGCCUCCAAAUCUUCAAAGCGUGCACUACGACAGCCAAUUCCAAGUCAUGUGUAGGGUAAUUCUUUUCAUGUUUUAGUAACUGCCUUGAAGCAUAGGCAAUCACUUUUCCUUCUUGCAUUAACACACAUCCAAGUCCUAGAUGUGAUGCAUCGCAAUACACAUCAAAUCCUUUAUGAAUAUCAGGCAUGAUUAACACUGGUGCAGUGGUUAGCCUUUCCUUUAAUUCCUCGAAACAUUUCUGACAUGCUUCAUCCCACUUGAACUCUUUACCUUUCUCCAAUAGUGAAGUAAGAGUUUCACUAUUUUUGAGAAGCCUUCAAUAAAUCUUCUGUAGUAUCGUGCUAAUCCAAGAAAACUUCUGAUCUUGGACACAUCUGUGGGUUCUUUCCAAUUUAGUAUCUCACUUAUUUUACCAUGGUCUACUUUGAUUCCUCCAUUGGUGAUAAUAUGACCUAGGAAAGCAACUUUAGCAAAAAAAUCACACUUCAAAAAUUUCGCAUACAACUAAUUGUCGUGAAGCUUCUGUAGAACUAAUCUCAGAUGAUCUUCAUGUGCUUCUUCAUUCUGAGAGUAUACUAGUAUGUCGUCAAUGAAUACCACUACAAACCGGUCAAGGUAUUCCAUGAAUACUUUAUUCAUCAAGUUCAUAAAGUAUGUUGGUGCAUUAGUCAGUCCAAAAGACAUGACUAAAAACUCAUAUAGUCCAUAUCUUAUGGUGAAAGCUGUUUUAGGUAUAUCUUCAGUCCGUAUCUUCAACUGAUGAUAGCUUGAUCUUAGAUCUAUCUUUGAAAUAUUGUAGCUCCUCUCUUCUAAUCAAACAGAUCUUCAAUCCAAGGUAACGGGUACUUAUUCUUAAUCGUUACUUCGUUCAAACUUCUAUAGUCCACACACAUUCUCCUUGAACCAUCUUUCUAGUUCACGAAUAGAACUGGGGCUCCCCAUGGUGAUGAACUGGGGCGAAUAAAACCUUUUUCUAGUAAUUCUUCUAUUUGUUUCUUCAGUUCAAUUAAAUCUUUGACAUCCAUUCGGUAAGCUCUUUUUGAAAUUGGUGCAGUUCCGGAUAAUAGUUCAAUAGAAAACUCUAUAUCAUGAUCAGGUGGCAUACCUGGUAAUUCCUCUGGAAAUACGUCUGGGUAUUCACACACUAUCCUGAUGUGCUCCAAAGAUUUGUCUUCCAACUGAUUUAUCAUUGUCUCUGCUGUUGCUGGCAUACUGACAUUGACUUCAAUUCUUUCUCCUUGUGGACUAGUUAAUGUAACCAUCCUCUUGGCACAAGAUAUCACUCCAUCAUACUUGGUCAAGUAGUCUAUUCCGAGUAUCACCUUGAUUCCACUUGAUCCCAAAAUUAUUAGCUCUACUAGAAAACUUAGGCCUCUAAUUUCAAUCUUAGUCUGAGGGCAUGAGUGAGUAGCUCUAAGUUCACCUCCUAGUGAUCGAAUUAAUAGUUUCUUCUUCAAGGGAUAGUUUGGUAUAUUAUGUUUUCCACAAAUGACUGUUACGAAGGAGUGAGAUGUUCCAGAAUCAAAUAAAACUGAUGCAGGUAUGAAGUUAAUAAGAAAUAUACUAUACACCACGUCAGCAUCCUUAGGAACUAAUUCUGCUGUCAAAUGGUUGACUCUUCCUCUACUCUGGUUCUGCGGAGUCCUGUUCUGUGCAGAUCCACGAGCAGGUGUGUUCUGGUUAGUCCUUUGGUUGUUCUUCUUCUGGGGUGUCUGUGGGUUAUGCCUAGGGGCAGUUGUUGGCAUAAUGGCCAAGUUCGCCACACUUAAAACAACCAUUGGGUUGAACAGGAGUAGUUGCAUUGUUGUUCAUGGCCGGUGUGUUCACGAUGCUUCCCUGACGAUUCUACUGUUGCCCACUAGACCUUUGGUCGGUCUAGGUGUUGCUUCUCUGCUAGUUCUGGUAUUGAUUGUUCCUCUGACUUUGUUGUCCAGAGCGUUGUGCUUGAUAGUUGUUGUUCCCACUCUGGUUUCCGGAGCGGAACUGAGAACCUUAGGAGUUGUUUUGUCGGGUAUUUCUGCCGGUCUGCCCUUGGUACUUCCUCUUGUGGUCGGACAGUUCUUUCCUUUUGUUCUCAAGGCCAAUUGCCUUUUUCAGUGAAGUCUAGAAAUUAGGGAAACUGUGGCUCUGUAGCUGGUAGUUGAAUGGUCCAAUCAAGCCUUCCAAGAAACAUUCUCGUCGGUGUCCACUUCCUCUGGGGCGUAACGUGAAAGAUGGGUGAAGCGAUCACGAUACUCACUAACAGACAUGUUCCCUUGAGUGAGGGAAAGGAAAUCCUUCUUAAGCUUCAUAAUUCUUGAGGGAAUGUGAUGAGCGUGGAAGUUCACUUGGAACUCCUGCCAGGUUAUGGCAUCACCAUUGGCGUGUGCCGCAGUGAAGGCAUCCCACCAAUCGGACGUGGUUCCUUCGAGUCUUCUCGAGGCAUACAAGAACUUUUCUCGGUCAUUGCACUGGGUGAUGUCUAACUUCUUUCCAAUGAGCUUAAGCCAGUCAUCAGCAUCCAAAGGGUCUACUGCGUGAGAGAAAGCAUGCGGGUGAUGACUCAUGAAGUCCCGAUGCUUGUCUAUAGCUUGGGGUGCGUGCUGCUAUUGUUGUUGGUACAAUUGGUUUUGCUGAUUCUGUUGAAUUUGCUGUACCGAAGCUGUAAGUCCUUGCAGAAGUUGCAUCUACGCUGCGACGAACUGAUCCAUCGUGGGAUUGGGUGGUGUUGGCGGUAAUUGCUGACCACGCUGAUGGUUAUUGGGACCUGAUCGAGUGUUCACCAUCUGUUUGGUUAGAAAGUGCACUCCCAGGGUAAGUAAGGAGUAGAGAAGAUUCUAAGGGAAAUAGCUUAUUAUUAAGGUUAAGUUCAUUGUUAUAUUAUUUUUAUGCUCUUAUGACCAUCAUUCCAUAAGACCAUUGCACUCAAGCAAAAAUCCAAAUCAAACAUUUCAAGCAACACCAUCACAUGGUUGUUAUUAUUAAUAGUGUAAUAAUAUAAAGAUGUUUUUCGUCUAUCGUGGAAACUAACUUAUUACAACAUAAAUGAAAAAUCUAAAGCAGCCUGGUGAUGGAUCCUGGUUCUCCAUAGCGGAUCCUCAUGUGGGGAGGGGAUAACGCCAUGGCAGGGACUUGAACUUCAGGGGGAUUCCUUCCAUCGAGCUGAGCUUCCAGUGCUGCGAUCCUUCAUGUGCAUCCUCCAGCUCCAAGUGUACCCUAGAGAGGUCCAGAGUAGCACUAUCUAGGUCGGCGUUAAGACCUGCCACCACACCAGCUAAGGUGUUGAGGCAAUCUUCAUUUGCUCCACCUGGAACAAUGCUAGUCUGGUUCUCUCCACGAAUACGUAGAGGAAGAUGCCUGUACUUCGUAUUGUGCAGCUGCUAUCGGUAGGUGUGGCUGAGAGACCACAGAGUUUGCCUAGCAGCAUCGCUGACCGAAGCAACGUAGGUGGAUAGCGACGUCAGAGACUCAUGUGCUGACAGAGUCCUGAAUCCUCUAUCACUUGCAUCCAUUACCCUGACAUGAAUAUGAGUGAUGUAGUAGCAUGCCCGAGGAGGCUCGUACACUCACCUGGUCUCAUAUAGGGGUCAGACAUAGGUUCCCAACUCGUGCAGAACAUCCUGCAGUAGGUUAGGGAAGUGCCCUGUCUCGAACAUUGAGGUGUAAUGUUCAGUGACAGGCCAUAACCCCAUGUAGUGGUCCUACUGUUCUUCGUUGGCUUCAUCGUUGAGGUUUUCCUCAUCUUCAUCUUCUUCUUCUUCCUCGUCGUCUUCAUCAUCGUCACAAGAGUCGUCUAGGUCGUCGCCUCCAGGAGCAGGGGCUUGGACUGCUGGUGCUGGCGGUGCUGAAGCUGACAAUCCAGCUGCGAAGGCUAGUUAUUUUGCCAACGGGGUGGACGUAGGCAGAAACUCUUCCGAGCUGUCCUCCAGAAUGACUCCGUUCUCCACCCGAAUGCGAGGGAGAUCCACAGGAAUUUACUCGACUACCACUGGGUAGACAGGAACUUGCCGUGGCGGAGGGAUGAAGUUGGUGUUGAUCCGAGUGUUUGAAUGGUACAGACCAUCUAUAAGAGAAAAUGUCAACUUAGUUGAUGUUUAAAGAGGUAAGGUUAAUAAAAUAAUUUUGUAAGAACAAAAUUAGCAUGUUUUGAACAGACUAGGCUUUCCAUUUCUAACUAAUCUAAUGACCUAGAGUCAGCAUAGCUUUGAAACCACUUUUGUCACACCCGGUUUUGGGGGCAAAACCGAAUGCAUAGCAUAUGUGGGCCAGGAUCCAUUUCCCACACAAAUGUUGACAUCACAAGUGUAAUAUAUCAAAAGACAAUGCAAUAAAGGCAUAAAGAGAGUAGAGUACAUAAUUACAUCAUCUGAAUCAUUGUAUCUUUAACAAGUAUCAAAAUCAAAGUAGGGCGGAAUUAAAUAUGGUCACUAUUUCACAGGAAGGUGACUGGCGCAUCGUUAAACUUAAAACUCAUCAUCGUCAUCAGCGAAGUCUUCAGCAUCACCCUCUGAUAAAAAUAUUAGCAAGGGUGAGCUCACUUAUGGUCGGGGCUUAGCAAGUGGGGGAAAUUAAUGCAAUUUAACAAGGUAGGCUAUGGAUAAGCGGUAAGCAUUUUAGUUGGUCAAUAUUUUAUUAGCAACACCUGUAUUACUAAUAAGUGUGUAUCCCAAGUAUCCCAACUAAUCAAUGAUAUAAGAAUAUAUCAAAAGCACUUAAGUGAAACCACUUAAGCAACCAUUGGUAGAUCAUCAGAUCUUGAUUUAUUGUCCAUCUUUAAGUUCAAUUGUCAUGUGAGGGUCCAGGUUGAUCUUAACCGUGAGCACGACUGACAUAUCAGUUUUACACUCUUCAGAGGUGGUACAACUUUACCCACAAGCCAUGUAUCCCAUCUAGCCUGGGUUGAUCGGACCCGUAAGCACUGCCGAGGUGAAUGGCUAGGGAUCCAUUAUGAGGCUUCCACAAAAUAUCCUUAGUACAAAGCCACCCGCUAAGGUUUCCACGUCAGUAUUGAUGGCCCUCUGGGUGAGGUAACUUAGCCAAGACUACCACCCCAUGUUAACACAAGCUGCCACCAAGCCACUGCCGCUCCCUCUUGCCCAUCUUUCAGGUAGGGUUGCUAAGCACUAAGUCUAUAGAGCUAAUUACCAAAGCCAGAGCCAUGAUAGCACUCGUGGUUGCACUGUUAUCUUGGAUGGUCACUCCAUGUUCCAUUUAACACAAAAUGUUCUUGUUUAACCAUCGGGUUAACAUCAUAAUAAAACUUCAUUUCCAGAACAUAGUAUCAUUAAAAGAAUGACAUCAUAUUCAUCAUGUUGAGCAAUAGCAAAAAUUGCUAAGCAAAGCAUUUAUCCCAAGGUAAUUAAAGGAAUAGGGUUGGUAAUUCUAUAAAAUCCUUAUUUAGGCAAAUCCCAUCAAAUUAUGCAAUAUACCCAAAAAGUAAAAAAUAUUAUAUGCAUUAAUUGGGUACAAAUAGAAUAUGCAGAGGGAGAAUCCACUUGCCUUGCUCGAAAGUGUCCUGUGGGUCGUCCUCGAACGAGUUUGGUUCAUCUGCCUCACAGUCAACUUCUAGCAUCAAUUUGCGUAUCGUACAUAUAAAAAGAAUACGUACGCCAAAUAAAUAAACACACACCAUUACAGGGGUAAUCAUUCACCAUUACAUUCACAUUCAUACAUCACACAUUUAUACUCAUAAAUACAUCUUUAAGCGUAAAUACUUGUUAAUCCAUUAUGACUACUAGUGUGAGUUAUUCUUGGUGAAAAUAUGAGUAAGUGACUAUGACACUAGUUUUAUCUAGUAAAAUAUAGAUAAACAUAUAUUAACAAUUUUUAUGGAAAAUAAUUGGUAAUCAUUUUCUGUAUUACUAAUAAUAGACUUUUUAGUUUUAUCCCUUCUAUUUCUAAAUAGAAAUUAUACAUAUAGCUACAAAUCAUUUAUUUAUAAUUCUUCUAACAAUAAUAUUCUAAGAAUUAAUGUAAAUUACUAAUUGGACUUUUAAUAACAUAAUCAUGGUUAUUAUGACAUCAACAAAUAUUUUACUAAUUCUAAGUAAUUAAGUGCUAUACUUAUGAAUACAUUUAUCAUGACUAGCAAAAUUUAUAUUUUCCAUCUGAUCGAGAAUAUGUGGGCUAGUAUUUCUUCUACUUUCUUUUAUCAAUAAAAUUAUACUUAAAACACUACUAACAAUUAUCGUUCAUGUGCUCAAGCGAGAUCAAUCGUAAUCGUCUCUAGUAUAAAAAUCCCCAAGUUCGUGACUGGUGACGUAAUUUAUUUUUGAAAUAUAAAUUCAUACACCUGUCAAAAUAUUGUUGCAAGGCUUGUUUACGAUUACACGUAUACGUUGGAGUCUCUUCUCGGUAAUUUCUAAACUGAAAAUCUCAGAAUUAAUUUAAUUUACAAAACUAGGGACUAAAAUGUAAAAUGUGCUUCUUCUACCUUGAGCUAGAUCUCACGAGUGGAGAUGGAGAUCGACGGGGGAGGGAGUUCGGCCGGGCAGGGGAGCAGGGGCUCGGUCGUGGGGCGCAGAUGGGGGAACGGGCACGGACGACGAGGUUCGACGGUGAAGCUCCAGCGAGGCAUGGGCGGCGGGGCGGACGGUCCGGCGGACGGGCGAGUGCGGGUGAAUUCGAGAGCGAGGAGAGCGAGAGAGAGAGAGAAAGCUCGGGGAGGAAGAGAGGAAGGGAGUCCGACCACUUUUAUAGAGCGAGAGGGGACAGAAGAGGGCGAGCCGGGGAGAGAAACAGUCGGCCUUCAACGCCAUCAAUGGCGGCGGCCAUUAAUGGCGCCAUUAGGGAGAGAAUGUGGGGGAGGGAGAGGGUCGGGCGACGGUUUCCGGCUCGGCGUGGAGCGGACGUCGAGGGUGCGGGGCGCGUGGGCGCGACGCGGUGGCGGCGGCGCAGGAGGGAGAAGGGAGGGAGAAGAGAGAGGGGGCCGCGGUGGGGCCCACCUGUAAGAGAGAGGGAGGGGAGGAGGGUUAGGGCGCGCGGCCGGUUGGGCCCUGGUGGGCCGAAAUGGCCGGUCGGCUAGGGUUUCUUUCUUUAUUUUUUUCUUUUCUUUUCUAUUUAAAAAUAUAAAUAAAUAUAUUUAAAAAUCAUAAUAAUUAUACCAAAAUUAUUUAUAACUAAAAUAUUUAUUUUUGGACCAAUAUUUCUAUAUUAAUUAAUUGGAUUUUCAAUAUAGAAGAAAUUCUAUUCAACGUCCAAAAAUCAAAUAUGAGCAAACAAAAUUAUUCUAAAUGUAAAUAAAAAUCAAACACUUGAAUGAAAAUUCAUUGCCAUAUUUACCAUUAAUAAACUAAAUGCAUUAUUUUUAGUUGAUGGUUUUUCUAGUGUUACACAUGGUCAACCUGGUCGUCAUGCUCAACACUGAGAUGGACCACGCCCUUGACGAGUUUGGCAAGGCUUGGAAGGAGAUUGUGGAACUGCAUGCUGAUCGUGCGGAGCGCCGCCAUCAGGAGGAUGGUUCCCCCUGUUGGGACUCAACACUCUUACCGUUCGCCGCCCCUUGGUCAUCAUGCUUAUGGCACCCUAACUACAGGACCAAGAUAGACUUGGAGUUCUAGAUCGAUAGAGUCGGAGUUUGUAAUAAAUGUUUAAAUCAGUGUCUUAGUCUUAGUCUUAGUCUUAGUCAGUCUUAGUUAGUUUUAGUUUGCUUAUCAUGUGUUUCCAUGUUUGUCAUGAUGAACUUAUGAUGAAAUUGGAUCUUUGUAAUGAUUGACACCAAGGGGUGGGCAUCCCCUUCAACUUGGUGUAGUUAUUAAUAAAGUUAGUUAUUUAGUUGGGCAACCCUUUAUUUCCACUUUCCUCUUAAUCUAAGAAGCUAUGUUUUGCUGUGUUGAGAGUCAGUGAAGAUGCUCAUUUGUUCAGUGUUGCGAAGACUUCUAUAUAUCUUUUCUUAUGCUGGAAUACUGUAGGGUCAGGUCUAAUGUGUGAAUGAUUUCUACAAAUGUCUAACAACAAACAUCGAGAUGGAAGGCGUGCCCAACAAGAGCAGCAGGCACCCCAGGAUGAGGCACCCCAGCAGUAGUUGCCACCACCACCCCCAAUGACAAUGGAGUAAAUGUUUCUGAUGCAAACUCAGGCAGUUCAAGCAAUUGGUUGGACCUUGGCAACCAUGCAACAGGUGUAGCAACAACAACCUCCACCUCAACUUCAAGUGCAGAUGCGCAGAUGUCAAGAGACAAGCGUGCGGAGUUCAUGAGGGGUCAUCCCUCUAUGUCUGCCCAUUCUGUAGACCCCAUGGAUGCCUAAGACUGGUUGCACAUAGUGGAGCGGGAGCUGCAUACCGCUCAGUGCAAUGACCGUGAGAAAAUUUUGUAUGGUCCCCGUCUACUAAGGGGAGUAGCACAAUCCUGGUGCGAGUCCUACCUCGCCACCCAUGCCGACCCUGAAGCCAUUACUUGGGAGGAGUUCAGAAACAACUUCCACCGGUACCAUGUGCCUGAAGGUUUGAUGAUAGUGAGGAAUGAAGAAUUUCUGGCAUUAAAGCAAGGGCCCCUGUCUGUUAGUGAGUACAGGGACAAGUUUUUGCAACUAUCUCGCUACGCACCUGAGUAUGUCAACACUGAUGCCGAGAGGCAAUACAUGUUCUUGAGAGGUUUGGUUAACCCCUUCACUACCAGCUGAUGAACCAUACAUUCCCUACCUUUCAGCAUCUGAUUGAUAGAGCUAUCAUGACUGAAAGGAAGCACCGGGAGAUGGAAGACCAGAAGCGCAAGAUCGGUGGACCGCAGGUGGGAGUAGCAGCCAUCCCCGUUUCUCAGGCAAUCCACCCCAACAGUUUAAGUAGAGUCACCCUCAAGGACAUCAAAACCAGCACCAACAUCAACGUUGGCUUUAGCAGCAGUUCCAUAGGCAGUUUCCUUAGCAGCAGCAGCAGCAGUACCGCCAGCACAACCAAUAGGGAGGAAACCAGUAUCAGUGGUAGAGCAGCCAGGCACCUCGCCUUCCUUCCCUAGCCACCAAUCAGCGCAACUAGAUAGCCCCAUCACAAGGAGGAGGUCGUGGAUGUUUCCACUAUGGGGAACAAGGCCACUAGGCGACACAUUGCCUAAGAAAGUGGCUCAGCAACAGCUAGCUUCCAACACCCUAGCAAGACAAGGAGCACCACGACAAGCAUCAGGAGGUGUGGCCAGGCCUACAACCGUGGAAAGGUGAACCAUUUGGAGGCUAAAGCGAUCUAGGAUGCACUAGAUGUGGUAGUAGGUAUGAUUCCAGUUGAAUCCCAUCUAGCAAAAGUACUAUUUGAUACUGGUGUCACACAUUCUUUUGUUUCUACAUCAUAGGUAGAAGCACAUAACAUCCUCAUAGAACCAAUGAUUCCACCUCUAAGAGUUAAUUCAGUUGGGGGAAAAGUUCAGUCCAAUAAGAUGUGCUCGAAUCUAAGGAUUGAAAUAAGGGGAUAGAUUUCCCCGCUAACCUAGUGGUCAUGAGUACUCAAGGGUUAGAUGUCGUCCUAGGGAUGAAUUGGCUGCACAGAAACUAAGCAACUGUCAGUUGUGACAAGAGGAUAGUAAAGUUAGUGUCCCCAUUCGGGAAAGAAGCAGUAACUAAACUGUUCAUGCCUGAUUUAGAAGGAGCCUGUCACUAUAUGUCUGUAGAUGGUAAGGAGGCCAACUUGCUUGAGGCUAUCAGAGUUGUGUCAAAGGUCCCUGAUGUGUUUCCUGAGAAUUUACCAAGCAUGCCACCCGAGCGUAAAGUUGAGUUUGCCAUAGAGCUUGAACCUAGAACUGCCCCUAUUUCCAAGAGAGCCUAUAGAGUGUCUAGACCAGAAUUGGUGGAACUCAAGAAGCAAAUCGAUGAGUAGUUAUAGAAAGGCUACAUUCAACCAAGUACUUCGCCUUGGGCCACACUAGUUCUGUUUGUGGAUAAGAAAGAUGGGAUCAAGAGGAUGUGCAUUGACUACAGAGCUUUAAAUGAAGUCACCAUCAAGAACAUGUACCCUCUGCCAAGAAUAGAAGAUAUAUUUGAUCAGUUGAGAGAAGCCGGAGUGUUCUCAAAGAUAGAUCUGAGGUCAGGUUACCAUCAGCUCAGGAUCCAACCUUCGGAUGUACCGAAGACAUCAUUUAUCACCAAGUAUGGGCUAUAUGAGUACACAGUCAUGUCAUUUGGAUUGACAAAUGCACCAACUUUCUUUAUGUACUUGAUGAAUAGUGUGUUCAUGGACUGCCUCGACAAGUUUGUAUUGGUGUUCAUCGAUGAUAUUCUCGUAUACUCUCAGAAUGAGGAAGAACACUAGGAGCAUUUGAAUGGCCAGAGUGUUCUCAAAGAUAGAUCUGAGGACAGGAAGGCACCAAGAGAUGUCUGAGGAAUCAAGAGUUUCAUUGGAAUGGCCAAAUACUAUCAACAUUUCAUUGAAGGUUUCUCCAAGAUUGCUAGACCAAUGACAACCCUGCUAGCAAAGAAAGUUGAGUUUAAGUGGACCCCAGAAUGUCAAGAGUCCUUUGAAACAUUGAAGAAGAAGUUGACUACAUCACCUGUGUUGAUCCUACCAGAUGUUCAUAAGCCAUUCUCGGUGUAUUGUGAUGCUUCGUACACUGGUCUGGGAUGUGUGCUAAUGCAAGAAGGAAGAGUAGUGGCGUACUCGUCCCGACAACUGAAGAUUCAUGAGAGAAAUUACCCCACACAUGGCUUGGAGUUGGCAGCAGUGGUUCAUGCACUGAAGACCUGGAGGCAUUAUCUAUAUGGGCAGAAGUGUGAUGUUUACACAGACCACAAGAGUCUUAAGUGCAUAUUCACCCAGUCUGAAUUGAACAUGAGGUAGCGAAGAUGGCUGGAGUUAAUGAAAGACUAUGAGCUAGAGAUACACUAUCACCCAAGCAAAGCUAAUGUGAUUGCAGAUGUUUUGAGCAGAAAAAAUCAAGUCAACAUGAUGGUCGCUCAUACGAUGCCAUAUGAACUAGCAAAGGAAUUCGUCAGGCCGAGUCUCGGAUUUCUAAACAACACCCAAGGAGUGACAAUUGAGCUGGAACCCACUCUAGAGCGAGAAAUCAAGGAUGUGCAGAAAGAUGAUGUGAAGAUCAAUGAAAUUUGGCAGCUGGUCUUAGAUGGGAAAGGCAAGGAUUUCCAGGAAGAUGUGGAAGGUGUGGUAUGGUUCAAAGAUAGGUUGUAUGUUCCCCACAUAAAAUUGAUUCGAGAGCUGAUUUUCAAGAAGCUCAUGAGACAGCGUAUUCCAUACACCCUGGCAGCAAGAAGAUGUACCAAGACAUGAAGAAAAGAUUCUGGUGGUAUUGUAUAAAAAGGGAGAUCACAGAGUAUGUUGCCAUAUGUGACAGUUGUCAGAGAAUUAAGGCAGAGCAUCAGAGGCCCACAGUUUGUUGGAGCUGUUGCAGACUCCUUAGUGGAAAUGGGAUGAGAUUGGGAUGGACUUUAUAGUCAGUUUGCCUCGCAUUCGAGCCGGUUAUGAUUCCAUCUAGGUAGUAGUGGACCACAUGAAAAAACCGGCUCAUUUCGUACCAGUCAAGACUACCUAUAGUAGUGCAGUGUUGGCAGAGUUAUAGAUGUCCCAGAUUGUAUGCUUGCAUGGAGUACCAAAGAAGAUAGUAUCGAACCGAGGAACCGAGUUUACUUCUCAUUUUUUGCGGUAGUUGCAUGAAACUUUGGGCACGCACUUGAAGUUCAGUUCAGCUUACCACCCGCAAACAGAUGAUCAGUCUGAGAACCAACCAGAUCCUUGAAGACAUGCUGAGGGAUUGUGCAUUGCAAGACAAGUCAGGUUGGGACAGAAGGCUACCUUAUGCAGAAUUCUCCUACAAUAACACCUAUGAGGCUAGUCUGAAGAUGUCACUGUUCCAAGCACUCUAUGGGAGGAAUUGUCAAACUUCAUUGCAUUAGGACCAACCCGGCAAAAGGCAGGUGUUCGGUCUAGACAUUUUGCUUGAAGCCGAAGAUAAUAUCGGAAUGGUUUGAGAGAAUCUGAAGAUAGCGCAGUCCAGGUAGCGAAGUUAUGCUGACACAAGGAGAAGAGAGCUGAGUUUUGAAGUGGGAGAUUAUGUUUAUCAGAAGGUGUCACCCAUUAGAGGAAUCAAAAGGUUCGGAGUCAAGGGCAAGCUAGCACCUCGAUACAUCGGACCCUACAAGAUUUAGGCAAGACAUGGAGAAGUGGCAUACCAACUUAGCCUACCAGAAAGUCUGUCAGCAGUGCAUGAUGUGUUCUAUGUGGGUCAGCUGAAGAAAUGUUUGCGAGUACCAGAAGAGCAAUUGCCUACCGAGGAUCUCGAAGUUUAAGAAGACUUAACAUAUAUUGAGAAGCCAACUCAAAUUCUAGAGACAGCAAAUAGAGUCACUCGAAGGAGCACCAUCGAGAUGUGCAAAGUCAAGUGGGGUCAUCAUUCAGAGGAAGAAGCAACUUAGCAAAGAGAAGAUGAUCUAAAAGCUAAAUAUCUCGAGCUCUUUGCUAGCCAACCCUGAAUCUCGAGGGCAAGAUUCUUUUUAAGGGGGAUAGGUUUGUAACACCCUGGAUUUGGGGGUAUAAAAUUUCUUCUCUAAUUUGUACCAAAUUCAGGUGUUACAUCUUGUUUCUCUCUCUCUAGUUUUCUUCUCUCUUCCUUUUUAUUAGAAUUAUGUCUACUAGGUGGGAGAUUAAGUUUUUCUUUACUAUAUCAAAACCUAUGGGAGUCAUGGGAUGUUGCAUCAUGCUGAGCCUAAAUUAUUAUUUUGUUUGAUGCACAUGUCUGAAUUAUUUGAAUUUGGAGCAUGUUUGAUAUUGAAUUCAAAGGAGAAAAAUAAAAGGAAAAAGGAUUAGAAAUUUAGGAAUAAAUGAAAAAGGGAAAAGAGCCCAGCCGCCCUCCCUACUCGGCCUUUCGGCCUAGCUAGCCGUGUCUCGCUCGCUCCCUUGCCUUCUCUCUCUCUGCUCGGUGGGACCACCCCGUCAGCAUCGUUGCACGCUCACGUGCACCCACUCUCACUGGCUCACAGGCCCUGCCCGUCAGACCCGUCCCCUCCCCUGCAACCACCACGCCCAUGGCGUGCGCUCAUGCCCCCACGACCCACCCACGUCGCCUAAGCGCCGAGGUGAAGACCCCGUGCCCCCCUUAGCUCGCCCCUGCCUCUCAUUCACUCUCUCCCAGCCCUCACACUCACUCAGCCCACAGCGCCGCCCCCUCUGUUGGUCCGUCGUUCCGCCAUCCUCGCUGGGCCUCUACCAUCGUCUCGGCCACGGUGAGCUUCGCCGGAGCCUUGUGCACCGGGAAUCCACAGUGGUUUCCCUCUCAUUGAUCCCUCUGCCAGGUCCGCACUCAACCUCUCCCCUACACAAGUCGGAGUUCGCCGCCGCCACGAUUUCUCCUUGUCCGGCCAACCGGAGUCCCCUCGCGCCGUGCCAAGCCACUCCGAGCGUCGUCUCUAGGUAAGUGACCUUCCCCUAACCUUAUUCUGCACCGAUUCCAUCUCACCAUGGGUAAUUUUGGCUCGCCGGAGUGGCCUCUGGUCAGCCGAGGCCCCCUCCGCCUGUCUCAGCCCCGUUCCAGUGACCCUGACUUCGCCAUAGUGUUCGUCAAGUCCACCCCAACCUCUCUAUCUACCUAGACUACCCCAGCGCCCCUAGAAACCCCGGUCUGCCUCGCCUACGGUGGCUGCACCACCGCGACCAUGAACAACGCCGCCCUCGGCCGACCGGAGCUGAGAACCCACUUGGCGCCCGAUCCUGACCGUUCAUCCUUGAUCCAUUGGCCCAGGUGCUCGGAUAACGGUUCGCUCGGUUCGUUGGACCAGGAACGUUGAUCCGAGAUCCAGUGGCUAGAGCGCCUCGCGCCCCGUGCAUCUCGCCUCGCCCCACCUGUCAGGCAUCCGCGCCGAGCCCUCGCCCGAGCUGCCGACCUUGUUUGCGCCUCGCCCGAGCCCACUGACCCACUGGCCCCGCACGUAAGUGUCUUGCCCCACCAUGAGAACUGCUUGUCAGCGCUCGCGUCCGCCCGCUAGAUCUAAUCCUGGUCGUUGAUCUAAGAUCUAACGGCUGGCAGAAGCCGACACCCCUUUGGUUUGCAGCUUUAUAAAAAGAACCCUCGACUUCUGAUAAAUAGAACCCACAGUCCCUAGAGUUUGCAGCCGAGCCCCUGGGAUCUUGCAGAAAGAACCCCAGACUUUAUUUUAAUUACAGAAAUAGGUCUAAUUUUGUAUUUUGAAUUCCAAAACUUAUUUAUUUCAUAUAUUUUGCAUAUGAACUCCAAAUUGGGUGGUUCAAAUUGCAAAAUUUUCAUAAAAUUAUUCUCUGUGUGGUUAAAUUAUCAUCUUUCACUAUCUUCAUGUAUUAAUUUCAUGUGUAGGCUAUAGGUGCAUUUAAAGUAAUGGUUCAUUAUUUAAAAGGAAAUAAAAAGUAAAACACUAAUGAUAAUUAAGUGAUUAACUUUGUGAAGUUAAUAUCAUGUAAUGUAUGAACCCAUCCCUGGUAUAAUUUUAAUAAUCCAUUAAGAUGACUAUAGUAAGUUAUGUAAUCCACUGAGAUAAGUAGUACUUAGAGAACCACAAACCCCUAAGUGUAUUUGUAUAUCCUUGGAUCUAGAUUCCAAGCUAGUGUCUGUACUUUUUAUUGGAUUUGUGUUCACUUGAUUGCAUAUGUUUGGUGUAUUGUUCCUUUUAUCAUUUCCCAAAUGUGUUGAAUGCAUGAUUGCUUUGCGUAGACAAUGAGAAGUCCGUGGUUCCUGAGUAUGUUGCUGGAGACCUCCCUGAGCAGCAACCUGGUGAAGGCAAGUGUCCUCUUACCCAUUAUGUCCUACUUACUUUAUAAUUCACUGUCCCGCAUUACUUAAUUGAAAUAUAAGGACUGACUAGCUUUGUAUUUACUUUGUCCUUGAUUACCUUUUGGGUUAUUAUCGUUAGCUUCAUGUUAUUGCUUUACUUUAAUCAACGAACAUGUUAUGAUACGAUGAUGAUGAUCUGUGAUACUUUAGGGGACUUAGGUUGUUUCCUGAGUACCUCUCUGUAAGGACCUUUUCAUUGAGAGACCACCUGGGAUAACAUUACAACCAUGAGGGUGGAAUGGGACGCCCUUAGCUGAAUAAUUAGAGGAACUUGAGGUGUAGUCGGCUUUGUCGUAGGACCGUCAAUGGAGUCCGGGCACAGUAUUUGCUCUACCGAGGGUCGUUGCCGAGGUUCUUUCAAUUUGGUUUUGUUAGUCAUCCUUCCUAUGGGGAGAAGUACUGUGUUUAUCAAACUGGAGAAACCUAGCGGGCGACUAUGACCUCUGGGGAAUAUUUGUAAAGGCUACAUAGUGAAACCUUGCCUGCUCACCUUGGUAGUGUUUGAGGGUUUGAUCGACCCGAGGCAAAAGGAAUCACGACUCGUGGGUAAAGUGUGCAACCUCUAUAGAGUGUUAGAAACUAGUAUAAUAGUCAUGCUUAUGGUUAAGAGCAGCCUUGAGAUCCUCUUUGAUUAGAAUAAUUCUGGAUACUUUUAUGAUGAUAAUUAAUGGUGAUGAUUACAACAAUGGUCUCUGGUAUUUCCUCUUGGAGGGAGUACUUUUGAAUAAUAACUGGGUUUAUUACUAAAACUUGGCUUACUUCUAGUAAUAAAUACCUGACCAACUAAAAGCAACUACUUUAACCUUAACCCCACGUAAAGCUACUCCACUUUAGCCAAACUGGACAUUUGCUAAGUACGUUGAUGCGUACUCACCCUUGAUUAAAAAACCCCCAACCCUAGGUGCUCCCCAUUGCAAUCAGUGCUCAAGAGGAGAUGAAGGCAACAUGGAGGACUUUCCGGAGUUUCAGGUCUUUGAUGAGUUCUAUUUGUGUUUUGUGGCAAACCCCCAGUCAGCUGCCUGUGAAGGCCUUAUCUUCUACGUUUUGUAUCCGCACUUUGAUUAUGUUGAUGACUAUGUUAAGUUAAUGACUCUCUGGAUGUCUUGGACAUUUUGAUGUAAUAAAGUACUAUUUCCGCUAUUUAUUUUGAGCAAUGUGUGAUGAUGUCCAACUAUGUAAUCGUUGUGUACAUGAGUUUUUGAUCCUGCCAUAUACAUGGUUCGCAUUCGGUUUGCCUUUCAAAACCGGGUGUGAAAUCUUCUUAGCCAUUAGUGGGUUGUCUGCAUCCUUGACUGUCGGCCCCAAGCAUUAUACUGGGAGGGUGGUCAUUCCCUCCUAGAAGAAGUUUUUUUUUAAAUAGUUUCCUCAUUUUUUGGUGGAGGCCAUUGCUUUAUGAAAAAUCUACAGCUUUUAGCCUUCGGUAUUGCCAAAAAUAGUUGUUCAUGCCCGUUUUCUGGCAAAAAAAGGUAGUAUAACCAUGGAUCUUUGGUGAUUGGCUUAUAUUACGAUAUUACUUACCCCAUUCAUAUUUUAAUGCUAGAAAUCAGUUUCUUGGAUUUUUGGUGGAUAUCAUUUCUUAAUAAAAAAUACAUAGGAAUUAGCCUUUGUGAAAGGGAAAUGUACCCUUGGGCCAUUUCUAAGUGUUUUGGUGAUUAAGUGCCUAACGCCUCACUUUGAACUAACAUGCUACUGUGAGUAUGAGCUCAGAGUCAAAGAGAAGGAAAUUGAGAGUCUUGGAAGAAAGUUGAACAUCCUAUACUAUUGGAGAAAUUUAGGUAUGAUUGUAGCACUUAGUAAAUUGUUUUGGUACUAACUAUGUUCUACUAAGUGCCAGGGAACUUCUCAAAACUAGAUAAAUUCAAUUGGAGAAGUUUGGCUAAGGGUAGUCAAACUUGGACCAGCCUACGGUGCACCGGACUGUCCGGUGUGCAUCAUACAAUGUCCGGUGCUCAGGCUACAUACCCGGCGAAUAGCCGCUCUUGGGAAAAAGCCAGGGCGCCGCGACUAUAAUUCAUCAAACUAUCCGGUGUGUACAGGACUAUCCGGUGUGUCAACCGCAUGCCUAGCCAAUGGUGUGCCAUGGGACCAGAGGGUGGCAAUGGUCAGAUUUGCCAAAUAAGGAAGGGUAUCGUGCACUGUUUACUGUCCGGUGGUGCACCGGACUGUCCGGUGCGCCCACGGACAUAAGGCAAUCAUAGCCUGCCUAAUGGAGGUCCAAUGGCUCCUAGGUCCCUUGGGGCUAUAAAAGGGACCCUUAGGCGCAUGGAGCACUACACCAAGCAUCCUUUGAACAUCACAAGACACCGAGACACUGCGAUCGCGCUAGAGCUUUGAUAGUUUGAGAUUUGAGCAAGAGUUGGAGUUGUAAUUCCGUGUGUUGUUUCUUGUGCUGCUCUCUCAACUUGUGAGCAUGUGUUGCUGUGAUUUUUGUCUCUUGUGUGUGUUUCUACUCCCCCUUACUCUUGUGUUCAUUUGAGAUCAAAUUGUUUAAGGUGUGAGAGACUCCAAAUUGUGGAGAUUCCUCACAAUGGGAAAAAGUUGAGAAGAAAGAGAACCAUGGUACUCAAGUUGAUUAGUGGAUCGCUUGAGAGGGGUUGAGUGCAACCCUCGUCCAUUGGGACACCACAAUGUGGAUUAGGCAAGUAUUUUACGCUUGACCGAACCAUGGGAUAAAAUCAUCGUGUCACAUGUCUUUAUACCUUAUUCUACUCUUUCUUAUAGUUCACGUCACUUCAUAAUUGCUCUAAGUUUAAUACUCACCUUGUGAGAGCAAUUAUGUGAAGAAAUUCACUCCUCUCAUUCUCUUCAUUCAAACUUGGCUCUUGCUUUCACUAAUCCAAAAUUUGUCCAAGUUUGUGAGAGCACCUAGAGGGGGGUGAAUAGGUGAUCCUAUAAAAAUCAACUCUAAACAACACAAACUUGGUUUAUAAUUGUUAGUGAAAUGAAAACCAAGUUGCUGUGAAUAGAGAAAGAGAGAACUCUUCACUUGAUUGUUCCUUUAUGAUAUGUAUUGAACUUAGGAACAAUAGCGUAAGUGAAUAUGUGAGAACUCUAUGGAAGAAAACAAUCACAGAGAAAGAUGCGCAAGUGACAGGGUGAUUUUAUCCCGUGGUUCAGCCAAUGCCUACUCCACAUUGUGGUGACCUCUUCGGUCAAGGAUUGUACUCAAUCCCUCUCAAGUGAUCCGAUGAUCAAACUUGAGUACCACAGUUUUCUUCCUUUUCACAAGUGUUCCCUUUGUGAGGAAUCCCCACAAGUUGGAGCCUCUCACCCUUACAAGAUUGAUCACAAGAACCACAAGAGUAAUGGAGGGAAUACAAACUCACACAAGAACUAGAGUCACAACAACAACACGAACACAAGUCAAGAACUGAGCACUCAAAACAACGCAACGGAGUCAAAGCUCAAAGAAGUGCUCAAAUCUCAAACACAAUGAACCGAAUGCGUGCUUGUGGAGUCUAGGCGUCUUAGGAUGUUUAAUGGAGGCUUGGUGUAGUGCUCCAUGCGCCUAGGGGUCCCUUUAUAGCCCCAAGGCAGCUAGGAGCCGUUAGAGUUCCAUUUGGAAGGCUUUGGUUGCCUUCUGUCCGUGGGCGCACCGGACAGUCCGAUGCACCACCGGACAGUGAACAGUGCAUGAUCUCCUUCCUUUUCUGGCGAAGCCAACCGUUGCCACCCACGGUCCAUGUGGCACAACGCUGAUCGUGUGGUCACCAUUGGCCGGGUGUGAGGCUGGCACACCGGACAGUCUGGUGCACACUGGACAGUCUAGUGAAUUAUAGCCACGGCACACUCAGCACUUUCCCGAUUGUGGCCUAUUCGCCAGGGCACCAGCCUAGGCACCAGACACUGUCCGGUGCACCGUAGGCUGGUGCAAGUUUGGUUGGACUCAGCCAAACUUCUUUAAUCCGAUUUCUCUCGAUUUGACAAGAUUCCUAGCACUUAGUAGAAUAAUGUUAGUACCAAAAACAAUAUGUGUUGAGCAUCUAAUCACUAACACAUUUAUAGAAAUGGCACAAAGGCACAUUUCCCUUUCAAUCUCCCCAUUUUUGGUGAUUUAUGCCAACACAUCAAAAGCAACUCAAAAUGCAACAACAUUUUCAAAGAUGAGCUAAAGAGUGCAAAUUGAAGACCAAUUAAUCUCACAUAGAAUUUGUUAUAUUUGGAUCUCUUUUUUGCUGUUUAUUUUCACAAAACAAAUUCGUUUUACUAUCUCUAUGUCAAAGACACUUUUUUGGCAAAUCAAAAGAUCUUUCAAGAAUAGUUUUGAUCAAAUACCAAAAACUCCCCCCUUUUCCCAUAAUAGAAAUUCUCCCCCACAAGAGAACUAUUUUUGCAAUAAGAGGGUUUUGAUCAAACACCAAGAUUUCUAACACUAAAGUUUUGAAAUUCACAAGUGGUUGGUUGAUCUAGUUGAUUUGGUCUAAUCUGAUCCAGUUGCUUUGGCCUUAAUUUCUCCCCCUUUGGCAUUAAGCACUAAAAUUGAAGAACUAUUUGGCCCCUUUAACCCCAUUGUCUCACAAAAAUUCCAAAUAAGAUCAAAGGCAAUAAGAAAACACAGAUAAGAACUUGGGACAAGAUACAUUGAUACAGGGAUGCAGUGGAAGCCCCUUCUUUGUUCAAGUUCACAUUUUCCCUUUCAAUGCCAUCUUUGAGACUAGAUUAUUAUUACUCAAGGAAACACAUUAGUCUCAAAGGAUCAAGUUGUAGUACAUCCUCCCCCUAAACAUGUGCAUCAUGUGCAUAAGGACUUGUGAGGUCCAGGGAUAACUUGUACAACUUGAGCACCAAAAAAUAAGCAUGUAAAGACAGUAAUGCUUAAAGUAACAUGAUCAAAGGCAUGAAACACAUGUCUGCUAUAGAUCAAUCCAAGUUCUGCGAAUCUAAGACAUUUAGCUCACUACGUAACCUACAAAACUUUUUCUUGUCUAAAGGCUUGGUGAAGAUAUCGGCUAGCUGGUUCUCGGUGCUAAUAUGAUAAUUAUCGAAUCUUCCCUUUGCUGGUGGUCUCUCAUAAAGUGAUGCCGGAUGUCUAUGUGCUUAGUGCGGCUGUGUUCAAUAGAAUUGUCCGCCAAGCGGAUUGCACCCUCAUUAUCACACAGGAGUGGGACUUACUCAGAUUGUAUCUAAAGUCCCGGAGGGUUUUCCUCAUCCAAAGUAGUUGCGCGCAACACUAUCCUACGACAACAUACUCGACCUCAACGGUGGAUAGGGCAACAAAUGUUUGUUUCUUAGAGCUCCAGGACACCGAGGACCUUCCUAGAAACUGACAAGUCCUGAAUGUGCUCUUUCUAUCAACCUUGCACCCGGCAUAGUCGGAAUCUGAAUACCCGAUUAAGUCAAAGGUAGACCCCUUUGGAUACCAGAUCCCGAAGCAAGGUGUAGAAACUAAAUAUCUAAGAAUCUGCUUCACGGCCACAAGAUGACAUUCCUUGGGGUCAGAUUGAAAUCUAGCACACAUGCAUAUGGUAAGCAUAAUAUCCGGUCUACUAGCACAAAUAUAAAGUAAAGAACCUGUUGGUCCUUGUUCUCGAAUGCUAUACAUCAAGAACAAAACAACACAAUUGUUAACGAUUAAGGACCUUCGUCCUUCGAAGCAUUAUCUCCCCUAGGAUAUAAUGAUCUUCAGACGAAGGUCAAGAAGGGCAUACCUUCAUCAUUUCAGUGAACGAAAUAUAAAUAGAGACAUAUGAAAUACAAAGGAAUAUAAACAAUCAUUACAAAUCAUUAGAUUAUUUACAUUAUCGUUUUAUAAACAUGGAUAAACAUCAAUUAUAUUUAUAUUACAUUUAUACCUUCGGUUUAACAGAAGAAGGAAAAGCGAGAGUGAAGCGAGAGUGAUUACAAUUCAGCGUGAAUAGUACGAGGGUACUAUUCAUCUAUUUAUAAGCACGGGACGCAGCCCGGACAAAAUUACAUCCGUGUCCCUAAUAAUUAAUUAUAAUCAUAAUACAAAUUAUCAGGGGCUAUACAGUCUUUUCCUCUUUAAGUCGGUAUCGUCCUUCGUCUUUAGCAUGUCACCAUGCCGAAGCUCCUUCAAUCGUAGCUUCGGCUUAUAUCUUCAUGUCACACCUGCUUAUGUAUUGUCCUGCUGAAGGUGUUUUUUCUUAGAGGACCUUCGGCGGAGAAGAAUGCCCCCAACAGUAGCCCCUUCACGGUGCUAGAUCGUUUUUUUCUUAACAAGCUCGAUCCGCGAAAAACACGAAGGCUUCGGAAUGCCGAAGGUUCGAAAAACACCUUCCCUGAGCUCGUUGCCGAGAAACGAUUAUAAUAUUCCAGGCGCCGGAUGGUCCACCGUUCAGCGAGUGCGAGCGGUCUGGUGGUUCACCUUCCCCCCUGUAGCACUAUAUAAACAGAUGGGUUGGUGAGGAGUUACCACAACAUUCAUUGCCAUUGCACUGUCGUGCUGUUAAAAAAUUUAACCAUAGCCAAAGCUUUCUGUAUUGCGCUUUCGAGCGAAUGCUUCAUCAUUGGAGAUUAGCUUCGUCAAAAAGUGAAUACAUUUGAAAUGGCCAGAGUGCGAUCAACUGCUAGAGUGUCUCGUGAGGGAGGCGAGGCCGAAGUAACUGAGACGACACCAAUAACAAAGGUGAUGAGGCAAUCAGGUCUUGUUGUGACAGAAAAGCCUGUUGCCGAAGGUACUUUGACUGCUGAAGCUGAGCAAAUCACAGUUGGAGAGGGAAGUAGUAACGAAGAUGAAGAUGAUUAUACCAUCCUGAGCCCAGAAAACCUAGCCACCUUGAAUUUGGCAGAUCCACUGUGACGGCAGAUGAUAUGGUUAUAAUGAAAAAAUUGGGCUACUUUGGUGAAACUAAGAGUAAACUUGUUCGUUUUGCUGGCGAGGAAGCGGUUCCAGAGCUGAAGGACGAUGAAGUUGUUGUGUUUAAAAGCUUCUUCAGAGCGGGGCUUCGGUUCCCUGUUUAUGAUAUAAUAGGAGAGGUUUUGAAAAACUUUGAAAUAUACCUUCAUCAAUUGACACCUAAUGCAAUUGUUAGACUUAGCAUUUACAUCUGGGCCUCUGAAGCCAGAGGAUGAGUCCUAAUGUCGAAGCUUUCUGCCGGGUGCACGAGCUACAUUAACAGACAAAGGCCAGGGCAAAUGGCCUUCAUGAGAAUUUUGGUUGCUACAAUUUUGCGUAUCGAAAGGAUAUGAAGGCACCGGUUCUUAGCUACCGUACCAAGUGGCCAACUGGUUGGAAGAGUGAAUGGUUUUAUAUGAAAGCAGACGAGAAAAAGAGAGAAGCUAAUGACCAUGGUUAAGAGUCCACUGAAUUUGAGCUUCAGAAUGACAAGGCCCUUGUGCCAUAUGCAGCUUGGCUCCCCAUGCCAACUGGCCGAAGUGGAGUUUAGAGUGGUAGUGGCUGAAGUCAGCACUAGAGAUCUAGUGCAAGAGUUCUUGGCAAAUAGAGUAUUUCCGACCUCUAGUGGCUGGGGAAUGCCCAAGAAAAAGGAUGGGAGCAAAAAACACGAACUUGUUCGGCUCCCAUACUGGUUCAAGUUUGAGAAAGAGUUCAAGAAACCAUGCCAAGUGUGGCUGGAAAUGAUUGAAACUAUGCAAUGAAAUCCUUGGCAACUACACCAAGAAGGAGGACCAACUAAUGACUGCUGCCUUCAGCACCUGGCCAAAAUGAAGGCUAAAUCAUGUGAUGGACGCGCUAAAUUUUGAAUAUCCAGACUAUGAAAGAUUUGAUAAGGGAAAAGAUUUGAAGAGGAAAAGGAUUGUUAGUAUUUUAAAGAGACAGGCUGAUAGACUGGUAAAAGAGGAUGAGAAGAUUUCGAAGAAGGCAAAAACUGCUCGUGAGCCGAAGGCAGCAGUCUCCAAAAAGAGGAAGCCUGAAGUAGUUGAGCCGAAGGUAGCUGAGGCGAGAGAAGAAGUUCCUUCAACGCCCCCUGCUGCUGAAAUAGCAGAAAUUCUAAAGGUAAUGACUGAAUCGUUGCCCAUCAAGCUGCUAAGUUCUUUGGGGGCCAGAACUGACGAAACUUUUACAGAAGAAGGAUCAACCUUCGAUCAUAAAGGAGAAGACUGAAGGUUAGAAGAGACGAAGAAUUGUCAAUGUUAUCCAAGCUAUUGAGCGGACACCACCUCUAGCCUCGGUGUCCAGAAUGGUGCCUGUUGCAAAUGCCAAGGUUGAGGAUGCUGCCGAAGCUGAAACUGUUGCCGAAGCUGCAGCUACUGCCAAAGCUGCUAAUCUUGUGAGCACAAUGUCAGGAAUUGACAAGCUGAUAUCAGAUAUGGUCACAGAGGAGGCAGUUGCGACCGCAGAGGAAAACGUGGCCGCGGUGCCUGGCAAGGGAAAAGAAGUUGUUGAUACUUCGUCAAAAGAAAAAGACUUUGACCUUCGGCACCUGGGAGGUCAAGAAUUGUCUGAGAUGGAGAAAGAGGAGCUAGAAGAAUAUGGAAAAUCUUGUGGCUACCAGCCGGGAUCCAUGCUCUUCGGUGGAGUUGAUGAGGAAAUCAUGGGAUGUAUCCACGACCGAGCUGGGGCAAAAAUAAUCGGCACUCUAUCAAAGAGUGUUGGUUUCCCGAAGCUAGAGUCUGAUAUUAGUGGGUACCGAUGACAACAUAUCGUCAGCAGCCUAUUUUAUUCCAAUUUCAAGGUAAAAUCUUUUUGCCUAGAUUCUUGUUUUCUUUGUGAUGGAUUAAAAUAUUAUAAAGUCAACUUUAUUUUCGCAGAGUAUGCUGCUAAGCAAAGCAUUAAGAAUGCAACAAGACCUCGAAGAUAAGAAAAAUGAGAUAGUAAUUGAAGGCUUGGAAAGCAAGAUCAAAGAUUGCAAAGCUUCUCUUGAAAAGAAUGACUUCUUGCUUCAAGCAACCAAAGGUUCCCUUGUGGAAUUUCAAGCUGAAAAUACUAGAUUAAACGAGGAGCUUCUCAAAGCUCAAACAAUCUUAAAGGAAAAAUCAGAGUGCUUUGAACAAGAGAAAAAGGAACUGCAAGCGAAAUAUAAAGUCGAAGCUGAUAAAAACACGAAGCUGCCGGAAUCACUGAGGGACCUUCGGAACAAAUGAUCGGAGUUUGCUACUCGCUGCAUGCAACGGUUAAAAGGAGUCUUCAGCUCGGUUGGGCCAGCUCUGAAGAAAUUGCCCCUUUGGCUGAAGAUAUAUCAGAUACCUUCAAGCAUAUUGAAAAUGAAGUUGAUGCACUCGACAAAGUAAUAACUGGGCAUGGUGAUUUCUGUGCUCUGUUAGCUUCUCGUGGCACGACUGCUGCAUUCUUGAAGGCCGGAUGCACGCAUGCUAAAACAGUAAACAAGCCAAACAUCAGCCUAUCACCAUCAGACUUGAUUAAUAUUCCUGGUGAGGCCCGAAGUAUCGGAAAUAGAUUUAUUACUCAAAUUUGGGCUAAAGGCAGGCGAGAGUUGGCUGGAGACGAGGCUCAGAAUCUGCUUAAAUCAGUACAAAAUUUAUACCUGUGUUUUCCUUGAUUUUUCUUCAUUACCAUUGCUUUUAACUUAUACCGUUGUUUGUCUGCAGGAUGGCGGCGCCGAAGGUUAGUAAUCCGAAGCGCAUUCCGAAGGUUGCUGGGCUGAGGCUUCCCUUUAUGACUUCCUGCAUAGAGCUUAGGAUCUAUUUGCGUUAUUUUUUCAAAAAAUUGUAAUCGAGAGUUGAACUCAAUACUGUAUAUAUUGAUCCAUACCUUGUAAUAUAAUUUUACCUUUCAGUCCACGUGCGAAUUGCUUUGUUGUGGACGAAACCCAUGUGUAACUUUUGAGCCAAAGGCGAAAAACACCUUCCCUUCUUUUCAUACACAUCGAAGCAUUUCCUUGCAUAAAACGCCUAUGUUCAUGUUUGAAACGAAGCUUCUUCGUAUUCAUCGAAGCACUUUGUUGCCGAAGCCGGACAAUUUCUGCUCAUAUUAUCGUUCGUGCUUCAUGUCAUGAUAAUGAUGAUCCUACGAAUGUCUAAUGAAUGUCUGUAUGAAUGCAAAGAAUGAUGCAAUGUAAUAUGCAAAUGUAUGAACCAAACACACACGAAGCCAUACCUAGACACUGCAUCCCCUUAGGAACGACUUUGGAGUCUCUUCACCUUUUAUUUCGGUGGUAUUUAAGCUCUGCAUUCCCUUAGGAACGACUUUGGAGCUUCUUCACCUUCUAUUUCGGUGGCAUUUAAGCUCUGCAUCCCCUUAGGAAUGACUUUGGAGCUUCUUCACCUUCUAUUUCGGUGGUAUUUGGCUCUGCAUUCCCUUAGGAACGACUUUUGAGCUUCGGGACUUACUCUGCUCCCCCUUAGGAACGACUUUUGUAGCUUCGGAACUUACUCUGCGCUCCCUUAGGAAUGACUUUUGUAGCUUCGUCACUCUCGGAGUGAUUAUAGCUCUGCAUCCCUUAGGGACGUCUUUUGAGCUUUUCCCUGUUCUUUUUGCACUCGAUGGUGUGGAUUUUGAUAUUACAUGUUACAUUUCUGGGGAAUUUUGGCCUUUGUAUUGCUUAGGGCUAGACAAAAAUGAAAAUUACAAACUAUGGCCCCAUUAAAAACCUUUCUCCCCUCCUGAAAGGAAAAGGGUGUCAUAGGAAAAAUAAAAAGAUUACAUCAAUUACACAAAAUAGCGUCGAAGCUCAUUCGCAUUCAAAGAUUUGGGUAUGUCGUUGCCGUCCACAUCCUUCAAUUUGUAAGAACCGGGUCUUGACGAAGAUACUACCAGAAAAGGACCUUCCCAUUUAAGUUGUAGCUUCCCCACUAUAUCGGGGUUGGUUAUCCUCUGAAGCACCAAAUGGCCUGGCUUGAUAUUUUUCAAUCGAACUUUCCUAUCACACCAUUUUAUUGUUUUGGCCUGAUACUUAUUGAUGUGCUCUAUGGCCUGAAGUUUGGUCCCUUCUAAUGUGUCUUUUGUUAUUUGAGAAUCAGUUUUGUCCUCCGCUGAAGCUGCGGUUCUUAUUGAUCCUGUUCUUGGUUCUUCUGGUGUUAUUGCUUCGUCACCGAAUAGGAGCUUGAAGGGAGUAAAACCUGUUGACCUUGAGACAGCAGUGUUGUGGCUCCACACCACUUUGAUCAACUCAUCUGGCCACUUUCCUCUAGGCUAAUUGAAGAUUAACUUCAUUAUUCCUGUCAUUAUAAUUCCAUUUGCUCUCUCUACUAACCCAUUUGACUCUGGAUGCCUUACUGAAGCAAAAUGUAUUCUUGUACCGAUUUGGUCACAAAAAACUUUGGACGUUUCAGCAUCGAAUUGAGUUCCAUUGUCGACUGUAAUAGCCUUUGGUACACCGAAAUGACAUACAAUAUUUUACCAGAAGCACUUCUGGACUGUGGCUGAAGUUAUGGUAGCUAGAGGUUUAGCUUCGAUCCACUUCGAGAAAUAUUCCACCGCUACCAUAACAUAUUUUAAAUUUCCUUGUGCGGGUGGAAGCGGUCCUAACAAAUCUAGGCCCCAUCUUUGUAAUGGCCAAGUAGGUUGGAUCAAUUGUGUUGAAGACGAAGGUUGUUUCUCGUCUCUGGCACACUUCUGAUAAUUUUCACAUUUCUGGACCAAGUCCAUUGCAUCCGAAGCUGCCUUCGACCAAUAAAAACCUUGUCUAAAGGCCUUUCCCAGUUGAGGCCUGGAUCCGAUGUGGGCUCCACAUAGUCCUACAUGUAUUCCUUCAUUAAUUCCUGUCCUUCAUUCCUGGAAAGGCAUUUAAGCAAUGGGGAACAAACUCCAUACUUGUAUAACUCCCCCUCAAUUAUUACAUACGGUUUUGUUCUUGCCUCCAUUCUAUUAUUGUAAGCUUCAUCGUCUGAGAGGCGGUUGCCUUGGAGAAGGAUAUUAUUUCGGUCCUCCAGUCUUCACUAUGUACAGGUGAGAUUCUGAGCACUGCUCUCUCCAUGAGCUCGACUGAGGGUGCUUUUAUUGUUUCAAAAAAUACUUCCGAAGGCAAAGGAAGCCCCUGUGCCGCUGAUUUAGCUAGCAAAUCUGCAUGCUCAUUUUCUCCCCUUGGGAUAUUUUUUUACAGAAAAUCCCUCAAAAGAAGCUUCCAAUCUUCGGACUGCAUCCAAAUACUUCUCAAGCUUUGGGUCUCUUGCCUUGCUACUCUUAUCCACGUGGCCAGAAAUAAUUUGUGAAUCAGUUUUGACGAUUGCCCUUCUUAUUCCCAUUGCCUUUAAUUUCCAAAGCCCUAAAAGAAGAGCUUCAUACUCGGCAAUGUUAUUUGUACAACUGAAGUCUAACUUUAUUGCAUAACAUGUUCUGACUUUAGAGGGUGCCACUAGAACAGCAGCUGCUCCUGCACCGAAGGUUCCCCAAGAUCCAUCACAGAAUACCGUCCAAGCUUUGGCAUCUUUUGUUGUUCUUCACCCUGAGCCCCUGGUGUCUAAUCAGCAAUGAUGUCUGCUAACGCCUGGGACUGAAUUGAGGAUCUAUGUACAUGAUCAAUGAUGAAUUCAUUAAGUUCUGUGGCCCAUUUUCCGAUCCUUCCUAUAGCUUCUCUGUUCCUCAUUAUGUCUUUUAGGGGUUGUGAUGAAGGUACUAUUAUAUGAUAUGCUUGAAAGUAGUGCCGAAGCUUCCUGGAGGCCAUCAAUACGGCAUAUAGUACCUUCUCCAAUUCUGUGUAAUUUUUCUUUGAUAGGCUGAGUACUUCAGAGACGAAGUAUUCCGGUGCUUGUAUUUUUACUUGGCCAUCUUGCUUCUCAUAUACGAGUGUCGCAGUAACCACAACAUGGGAAGCAGCCACAUACAGAAGUAGUGGAGUUCCUGAUGAAGGUGGAGUUAGAGUUGUCAAAUCUAUCAGAUAUUGUUUUAACUCUUCGAAGGCUUUAUAUUGAGCCGGACCCCACUGAAAGACUUCGGCUGACUUCAGUAUUUCAAAGAAUGGUAAAUUCCUCUCUGCUGAUCUUGAUAUAAAUCUAUUCAACGAUGCCAGCCUUCAUGCCAACCGUUGAGCCCCCUUCUUUGAAUUUGGUGCUGCAUCCGAAGGAUAGCUUCGAUUGUGCUUGGAUUAGCUUCGAUGCCCUUUGUUGAUACCAGGCAACCAAGAAACUUGCCCUUCUUCACUCCGAAAACACAUUUUUCUGGGUUCAACUUGAGACCAGCUUGUCUGAAAUUGGCAAACGUCUCUUGCAAAUCAGCAACAUGAUCUUCUUGUUUUGUGCUUUUCACUAUGAUGUCAUCGACAUAAGUCAGCACAUUUCUGCCUAUUUGAGAGUGAAGAACCUUGGCAGUCAUUCUGCUGAAGCUUCCUCCAGCAUUUUUGAGCCCCUCAGGCAUCCGAAGGUAGCAAUAGGUAGCAUCUAAUAGGCUCAUAAGUUAUGAAGCUUGUCUUUGGCUCAUCCUCUUUCUUCAUCCAAAUAUGGUGAUAGCCCGAGUAGCAGUCUAAUAGGCUCAUAAGUUCUGAAGAAGCUGCUGCAUCUACAAGGGAAUCUAUUCUUGGUAAAGGGAACUCAUCCUUCGGACAUGCCUUGUUGAGGUCUGUGAAAUCAAUGCACAUUAUUGAAAGGGAAAUGUGCCCUUGGGCCAUUUCUAAGUAUUUUGGUGAUUUAGUGUCCAACACAAGUGCUUAAAUGAUAAAUUAUGCCAAAUGGUGGAUAAGGUGCAAAUCAAUACAAAGGUAUGAUUCUAGACUUAGUACAUUGGUUUUUGUGUACUAACAUGUUUGUCUAAGUGCUAGAAUCAGAGAAAAUACAAUUGAAAAAGCUUGGAUCGAAGCAGCCAAGAGUCUGCUCAGUCUGGGUGCACUGGACUGUCCGGUGGUGCACCGGACAGUGUCCGGUGCGUCAGGCUGGCGUCUGUCAACUGGCUGCUCUCGGGACUUCGACGGCGGCGUACGACUAUAAAUCACUGGACUGUCCGGUGAGCCAACAGUCGGCCCGGCCAACGGUCGGCCGCGUAAUCCGCUCGCGACGCGUGGCAGAGCCAAUGGUCAGAAGGGGGCACCGGACUGUCCAGUGUGCACCGGACACUGUCCGGUGCGCCAACGGCUCCAAAGCGCCAACGGUCGGCUUCGCCAAAGAAGGAAAGAAAUCCGCACCGGACAGUGUCCGGUGGUGCACCGGACUGUCCGGUGCGCCAGGCGACAGAAGGCAAGAAUUGCCUUCUUGAAAUGCUCUCAACGGCUCCUAGCUGCCUUAGGGCUAUAAAAGGGACCCCUAGGCGCAUGGAGGAGUACACCAAGCAUCCUUUGAGCAUUGUUGAUCACUCACACUUCAUUCUUGCGCACUUGUUCGACAUUCUUAGUGAUUUGAGCUCCGUUCUAGUGAGAACCUUGAGAUAUUGUGUUGAGCUCAAGUCUUGAUAUUGUGUGUGCGUAUUUGCUGUGGUUUUGAGUGUGUCGCUUUCCUCCCUUACUCUAGUGCUUCAUUUUGAUUCUUAUUGUAAGGGCGAGAGACUCCAAGUUGUGGAGAUUCCUCGCAAACGGGAAAGAGUAAAGUAAAGAAGAUCACUGUGGUAUUUAAGUUGAUCAUUGGAUCACUUGAGAGGAGUUGAGUGCAACUCUCGUCCGUUGGGACGCCACAACAUGGAGUAGGCAAGUUUUGUACUUGGCCGAACCACGGGAUAAAUCCUCAUGUCUCUUGUGCUUGUCUUUACUGUGUCUGUUGUGUUUCACAAGAGAACUCCUCUCUAACCACUUGGCCUUAUUGUGCUAACUCCUAAUCAAGUUUUGUUGGAUUAAGUUUCAUGUUUUUACAGGAUCACCUAUUCACCCCCCUCUAGGUGCUCUCAAUUGGUAUUGGAGCCGUUCUCUUCAAGAAAGGGACUAAUCGCCCGAAGAGAUGGAUCCUAAGGGCAAGGGGAUGGUGGUCAAUGAUAAGGAGAAGGAGUCCUUUGUCAAUGAUCCAAAGGAUGACAAGCCUACUGACUCGGGCGCGAGUCACAAAAGAAAAGACAGGAGGAAGAAGAAAACGAGGCGCAUCAAGGAGAUCGUCUACUACGACGACAGCGACGAGUCCUCUUCUUCCCAAAAGGAUAACGACGACAACGACUGCGAGAAAAAGAAGACGGUUAACUCUAAUUUUUCUUUCGAUUACUCUCGUAUUCCUUAAAGUACCAAUGCCCAUUUACUCUCCAUUCCACUUGGCAAACCUCCUCACUUUGAUGGAGAGGACUACGGAUUUUGGAGUCACAAAAUGCGUAGUCACUUGUUCUCUCUCCAUCCAAGCAUAUGGGAGAUAGUAGAAAGUGGAAUGAAAUUUGAUAGUACUGAUAGUCCCAUGUUCAUCAAUGAACAAAUUCAUAAAAAUGCACAAGCUACUACUGUGUUGUUAGCCUCAUUGUGCAGGGAUGAAUACCAUAAGGUGAGCGGCUUGGAUAACGCCAAGCAGAUUUGGGACACCCUCAAGAUCUCUCAUGAGGGAAAUGACGUCAUCAUGCUCACCAAGAUGGAGUUGGUGGAGGGCGAACUUGGGAGAUUCGCAAUGAUCAGGGGCGAGGAGCCAACCCAAACGUACAAUCGGCUAAAGACCCUCGUCAACAAAAUAAGGAGAUAUGGAAGCACGCGAUGGACGGACCACGACGUCGUCCGCCUAAUGCUAAGGUCCUUUACUGUUCUUGAUCCACAUCUUGUGAACAAUAUUCGUGAGAAUCCUAGGUACACCAAGAUGACGCCCGAGGAGAUACUUGGAAAGUUCGUAAGCGGGCGGAUGAUGAUCAAGGAGGCUAGAUACGUUGAUGAUGCAUUGAAUGGCCCAAUCCAAGAGCCUCAAACUAUUGCUCUCAAGGCAACAAGGAGCAAGGAGGCGCUACCUAGCAAGGUGGCGCAAGUUGAGGCGGCCGGACUUAAUGAUGAAGAAAUGGCCCUCAUCAUCAAGCGUUUCAAGACGGCGCUAAGGGGUCGCAAGGAGCAUCCCAACAAGACCAAGACGAAGGGGAAGCACUCAUGCUUCAAAUGUGGUAAGAUUGGUCAUUUUAUCGCUAAUUGUCCCAAUAAUAAUAGUGACCAGGAACAAGGGAACAAGAGGGAAAAGAAGAAGUCUUACAAGAAGGCUAAGGGCGAGGCACACCUUGGAAAGGAGUGGGACUUGGAUUGUUCGUCGUCUGACUCCGACAACGAAGGACUCACCGCCACCGCCUUCAACAAGUCGGCCCUCUUCCCCAACGAGCAUCACACCUGCCUCAUGGCAAGGGAAAAGAAGGUAAGCACUCAUAAUGCUAGUACUUACGCUUCCUCAAGUGAUGAAGAAUCUAGCGAUGAUGAAAUAGACUACUCAUGUUUAUUCAAGGGCCUAGAUAGAACUAAGGUUGAUAAAAUUAAUGAAUUAAUUGAUGCUUUAAAUGAUAAGAAUAGGUUAUUAGAAAAGCAAGAGGAUCUCUUGUAUGAAGAACAUGAUAAGUUUGUAGAAGCACAAAAAUCCCUUGCUUUAGAAAUUAAAAGAAAUGAAAUGCUUUCUUGUGAAUUGUCUACAUGCCAUGACUCUAUCUCUAGCUUAAAGAGCAUAAAUGAUGAUUUGAGUGCUAAGUUAGAAAUAGCUAAUAAAUCAACAUCUUGUGUAGAACAUGUUGUAGUUUGCAAUAGGUGUAAAGACUUUGAUGUUGAUGCUUGUAGUGAACACCUAGUUUCAAUUUCUCAAUUGAAUGAUGAAGUGGCUAGUCUUAAUGCCCAACUUAAGACUAGCAAGAGUGAAUUUGACAAACUUAAAUUUGCAAGGGAUGCCUACAUGAUUGGUAGACACCCCUCAAUUAAGGAUGGUCUUGGCUUCAAGAGGGAAGUCAAGAGCUUAACAAGUCAUAAGGUUUCCAUCUCCGCCAAGGAGAAACGGAAGGCCCCUAUGGCUAGUAGUGCUCAAAAGAACCAUGCUUUCAUGUAUCAUGAUAGGAUACAUUCUAGGAAUGUUUAUAGAAGUUAUGAUGCUUUUGAUUCUCAUGCCAUGAUUGCUUCUAGUUCUUCUAUUAUGCAUGAUAGAAAUUUGGCUAGGAAAAAUGUUGUUCAUCAUAUGCCUAGAAGAAAUAUUGUUCAUGUUCCUAGGAAAGUAAUGGAUGAACAUUCUACAAUUUAUUAUGCUUGCAAUGCUUCCUUUGCUAUUUGUAGAAAGAAUAAGAAGGUAAUUGCUAGGAAAUUAGGGGCCAAAUGUAAGGGAGACAAGACUUGCAUUUGGGUCCCUAAGACUAUUUUAACUAACCUUGUAGGACCCAACAUGAGUUCGGUACCUAAGACCCAAGCCUAAAUUUGCCUUGCAGGUUUAUGCAUCCGAGGGCUCAAGCUGGAUUAUCGACAGCGGAUGCACAAACCACAUGACGGGGGAAAAGAGGAUGUUCUCUUCCUACGUCAAGAACAAGGAUCCCCAAGAUUCAAUCAUAUUCGGUGAUGGGAACCAAGACAAGGUGAAAGGGUUAGGAAAAAUUGCUAUUUCAUCCAAGCACUCUAUUUCAAAAGUGUUCUUAGUUGAGUCGCUUGGAUAUAACUUGUUGUCUGUUAGUCAACUUUGUAAUAUGGGAUAUAAUUGUUUAUUCACAAAUGUAGAUGUGUCUGCCUUUAGAAGAAGUGAUGGUUCACUAGCUUUUAAGGGUGUACUAGACGGCAAACUAUAUUUAGUUGAUUUUGCAAAAGAGGAGGUCGGUCUAGAUGCAUGCUUAAUUGCUAAGACUAGCAUGGGCUGGCUGUGGCAUCGCCGUUUAGCACAUGUGGGGAUGAAGAACCUUCACAAGCUUCUAAAGGGAGAACAUGGGAUAGGACUAACUAAUGUAACUUUCGAAAAAGAUAGACCUUGUGCAGCUUGUCAAGCAGGAAAACAAGUGGGAAGCUCUCAUCAUGCCAAAAAUGUGAUGACAACAUCAAGACCCCUAGAGUUACUUCAUAUAGACCUCUUCGGACCCGUCGCCUAUCUAAGCAUAGGAGGAAGUAAGUAUGGUCUUGUUAUAGUUGAUGAUUUUUCCCUGUAACACCCCGGGGUCCACAAACACCCUGGAAUGCUACUAAACAACACUUCUGACAUCUAUAUAUAAAAUUUCGGCAGCAUCCCCUUUGCAAAAUUGCAUAAAUGAGGGGGCAACAGUGUAUAAACAUACAUCAUGACAAAAAUAUACUAAGUAUUAUUAAUCGGCUAGCAAAGAGAAGUUAAACAUACGACAUGAACUGAAUUAACUAGUGCGCACGACUAGUUAAAAAAACUUCCUUUGACAAUAAAUUUCUAAUUAAAUCAUGGCUGCGCCUGGGCAGCGCUAUUGUGAGAGUGAAAGUGGACGUGCUGCUACUCCCCUCAUUCCCAACAUGUAUCAAGUACCUGCAUUGAGUAAUGCAAGAGUGAGAUGACACAUCUCAGCAAGUAAAAUAAUAUCAAACUGUUUAACCACAUAAGAACAUUGUUUUACCACCACUUGAUUCCACAACCUUCUUAUUACAAAGGUGCAGCACGUAUACAACGUACAACACACCUAGUCACCACACCUCAUAGGUAGAAACCACAAUAGUAACAUAGUAAUGUCACACUUCAUAUAUACCUCAUGAGUGCAAAUGUCUGCAAAUGCAAGGAUGACUUCUAUCUUCAUACCUCUAAGGAUAUGAAGUCGCAUCGUACCCCUCCUCGGGCAACGUACGAUGCUAAAAAUGUACCGGUAUGGUCGGACCAUAAGAUCACGACAUAACUUCAAAAUGCAAGAUGGAUGAUGCGAUGUGCAUGUCAUGCCUACAACACUUCAUAUAACGUGAUUCAAAAAGACACUUCAACUUCAUCAAGAUGGGAAUCAACCACAUAUAUCAUUACCAAAUUAUGAUCAUCCACAAUAUUAGACAAUUGAGAAUUAAUACUUCCAAACAAAUAACUUCAUCAUAGAAUUCAAUGAUUAACAUAAUUAAAACUUAUGCAUACUCAAUGACAGGGAAUAGGAUGCAAACCAAACGGUAGCAACCACCACUGUAUUUACUUGCCUUUACCGGAAGUUUGGGCAAAAACCUAAGUACGAUCCGGAAGUCCACCACCUAUUUUUGACACACAACUUAGUGCACCAAUUUCACAUAAUCAGGCUCAUAAGCGACGCCGCACCUACGCACAAACUCAAACCCCGCCGCGGGUUACAUCUCUCCCCACACCCACCAAACUGCAGCGGCGCUGCCUAAUAAUUUCAUAACUUUAAAUUUAUUACAGCAGUGGUAACAAACAAAAACUCCAGAGGCAUCUACAUAAAAUUCCCUACAAGUUUUGUAUACAAUUUAUAAUUAAAUUCCAACAUCUAAUUAGCCCAAAACAGUCCACAAGAUGAACCCUGUAAUCUGUUUUUUUUUGUCUUUUGGACAGCGACAUACCCGGAUUCAAACAGCGAUAUCUUUUAAAAUAUAAUUCCAAAUCAAGCGCAUAAGUACCCAUUGGAAAGAUAAGACAAAGCCCUACAUGAUUAUUAUACUGGUUAACACUAAUUACCCACGAAAAAUUCCCAGAAACUGCUAAUACUACUUCUGUUCACCCACCUGAAAAAUCUGUUUUUUUGGACAGCAACAUACCGGAUUCAAACAACGAUAUCUCCUAAAUUAUAACUCCGAAUCGAGCGCAUAAGUACUCGUUGGAAAGGUAUGACAAAGCUCUACAUGAUUCUCCCACUGAUCCCUACUAAUUGCCCACGAAAAAUUCCCAGAAAUCCCUAGAACUACUGUUGUUCGUCCACCCACUAAAUUUCUGGACAGCACCUCUACCAAAUCGCAUAGAUAAACAUGUAACCAAUUGGAUUGCAGCACAAAUACAACAAAAUGAUCAUGAAAAUCACCUUGGGUUCCUCCUUUCCUCCUUCUUUUCUUCCUUCUUCCUCCCUCCAAACUCCCAUGGAAGACUCGCACCCACACGACGGACACCAAGCGGGGAGGCUCCACCUUGGAGAGGAAGAGGUGGGGGGGGGCGGCUAGGGUUUAGGGGUGGCGCUGCAAUCACUUGGGGAAGAAGGAGAGAGAUUGGGGCGGCUGCAAGAGUGGAAGAGAGGAAGAGAGAGGGGGGCGGCCAAAGGGGUGGGGGAGUGAGAGGGAGGGGGCGGCUAGGGUUAAGGGGGGAAACUAAUGGGCUCCCCACCACCGGAUCGAGAUCCACGGCCCAAACUCGCUCUCACGUCUGCUCCCGACCCCAGCGCACAAAUCCAACAAGUAUUCUACUGUUUUACUGGUGAAUGCUUCCUAAAAAACUCCAACCCCAAGGGAAAAAUAAAUUUAACUUCUUUUCGGAAAAUUGGGUAUCACACUCUACCCCCCUGAAAAAGAAUUCGACCUCGAAUUCCGACGCUUCUAUCGGAACGACAAGGAAAGAUCAAUGAAUCAACAAAACUCACACAUAAAGAAAGGUUCGGGUACUUCUGCCGCAUCAGCUCCUCAAGCACCUAGGAUUCUAAGAUACGCAGCAGACGACACUCAAGAGUCUGGUCUUGCUACACAGGAAUCGGCUCUAGCUCGAUUUGAUGGUCUGGAUUCCGCAAAUACUUUCUCAACAUAAAGACAUGGAAUACAUGGUGUACUCUGAUCAUAGACUCCGACAAUUGUAGGUGCUAAGCCAAGCUGCCAACUCGGGCUAAGAUAGUAGACGGUCCUAUAUAACUCGGACAAAGCUUUCCUAACACCAAAUCAACAUUGACACAUGCAAGUACUUCAAUGAAUAUAUAUAUAUGAAUGCAAUACAUACUGUGCUCAAAUAGCCUAAACCAAACCUAUCCAAACAAGAGUAACUUCAAAAGAUCAAUUUAAUGCUUGCAUAUUUCUAGACAGCAACACAACGAUUAUUUGUUUUCCUCAUAACUCACAAAAUAUGCAUCCAAUAGAAGUAAACUAGGACUUUAUGGAAAGCUUACAAAGUCCACUAUACCCUUGGUAUUAUCAUCACCACAAGAUUUGACACUUAGAAAGGCCAAACAAUGCGAAACGUAAUUUUUGUCCAGACUUGGACAGAAUUCAACUACUCACUUCAAAAAUCCAUAAUUGGAGUCUCAGUCAUCCAAUUCAGGCGCUCAUAGACUUUUUAGAAAGCCAGUAAAAUUGUCUAUAUUUCAUUUAUAAACCUAUCAGGUUAAUUCAAUGCAUAUCAAGAUCAAAAGACAUAAGAAAGGCUUUGCUGUCCAAAUUUGGACAGAUUCAAAGAUUCCAAUUAAAACAGUUGUAGCUUAACUUAUAGGUCACCAAAAAGGGUGAUCCAAAAUUUGUUGGAAGGCUUAAGAAAAGUACUACCACUUCUUUAUAAUUUAUAAGAACUGAUUCGAAGUUUAACUUGGGCAAACAAGGUCAGUUUCGAAAUCUGUACAGAAUCUGGACAAUUUCCAAGACUAGACUUGAGAAAAUCAUAACUCCCAAACUACUGGACCUAUGGUCAUGAAAUUUUACACAAGUAAGAUGAAGAAAUUGGCUACAACUUUUAUAUACAACACCUCUACCGAAAACAUGGUGUAAUUCAUUGAACUAGUGGCAUAACCAAAAUUGGUCAUGUAGCCCCGAACAUCAAGCAAUAGAUUUAUUCAGGUUCUAUACUCUUCUAAGAUUAAGCGUUCAUCGAAGGACUAAUAACUUUAGGUUCUUCAUUACGAGACACUUAGAGCCAACAUAAGGGUAGAAGCAAUAUGCUUACUUUUUAAAUCAUUUUACAUGCAAGCAAGAAUCGAUUUAAGCAUACUACGCCUGCCCAUAUAUCCAUCCAAGCACAUUCUAUACAUUAUAUCAUCCCAUCGAAGAACUCUCUCUUUUUUUUUUAAUUAUACUAUGCAUAUAUAUAUCCAUCCAAUAACUCACACAAUCUGCAUCUCCACCUAGACUUCACACGACGUAACUAUUUUAUACUUACGCAAACACGCCAAGACCAGCAAACAUGGCUUCACAACAAUACGUACUGGCCUAUUCAAAUAUCCCUCGCUAUCUCUCUGUUUCAGCCCACGCUCCGCAUAUACAAUAACAACAUAACUAUCACAACCACUACAUCUAUUCCCUCCCACCAUACAACAUAAUUAACAUGGAUUGCGAAAGAGCUCACCAUAACUAAACCAAACUCCCAAAGAAAUAUCCUUAAAUAGAAAAUUGACUAUCAACAACACAAAUGCUCAUUCUGUCUCUACCUCUUUCACUAUAAAAUCAAUGAUAACAAAGAAAUAUUGUAAAAUCAUCUAAACUUCAUGACCUACAACUUUUGUAUUCAAAGGAUAAACAAAGUUUUAUUUUAUCUCCAUUUUUUUUAAUUUGGCUUGUAAGGCGACAUACAUGAUCUGCCACCAGAACCUGACGAAACAUGACCCAUAAAUUCAAAACCUCAUAACUCUCUACAUCUAACAAAAUUUUACAAAUAUAAACUCAUUGAAAAUAUUAUAACAUUCCCUAAAAAUUUUAUUGUAAUGAGUGUCUCAGAAUUGGUUUCCAAACCGAAAAAACAAUGCAACUGCUUUGUUGCAAAACUGAUAGGUUAGAAACAAUGGACAACUAAAAUUCAAAAUACUAUAACUCCUGCUAUACUCAACUUAAAACUACAACGAACACGCGUUGGAAAAGUUUGGAAAUUGUCCACGACUUUUGCAAUAAAGUUGCACCCAAAUUUAUCUUUAUAGCCCUCAACUCUGUAUGACCUACAGCUAAACUCAGCCUGAGAUACUGCACAUCAGAGAUUCGACUUAUAUCCGGACAACCACCUCUCCCAAUCUAUUUAACAGACAAUUACAAGUAAAUACCCAUUAAAAGGUACUAAGAAAAACUAAAAGUUUUUCUUAAAGAGAAUUCCCAAAUUUGAGCUUUGAAACUAUCAAAACGCGGUCGAUUUAUUAGUGGUUUUUAACGACACCUAAAGUUCAGACACAACGGUGCAACAACUUCAGAGUAGCCUAACUCCAAUUAUAUGGAAUGAAAAUUACAAACCAAUACUCUUUGGGAAGAUCAUGAAAUUACUAAAACUUUCAUAAUCCAACAAAACCCAAAAUUUACCGUAUUCAAUGUCUAUACUUCCGUACAAAAUUAAGGCUGCUAUAGGAAACCCAUAACUCUCAAAUGUUUAGACCAAACUGGGUGAUUGAGCAUCCUAUGCAAAGAUGAAGAAACCUACUACAAAACAUUCUAGAUAAGUGAAGCCUGAUUCAGCCUCCAACUAAUUUAAAAUGACUCCCAAAACAAAACAACACCUUACCCAUAAUAAAAAACAAUAUAAAAUAAAACCCAAGGCAUUGGCAGGUGCGAUCAACACUAGGAUUUUGCACUACCAAAUGGGGAUGCAACUCCCCAAAGCCUUUAAGCAACACUUUACCUAAUAGGUUAGAACACUAAGCACAUCAAUCAACGAAUUCAACAACCUCAUUUGUUAAUGCCACUAAGGUCAAACAUCCAUGUAUCGACAAUGUAUGAAACACCUGACAUACCCGUCUCUAGCACUAUAAAACAUGGUUGUUAUUACACUAGAAUCCAACUAUUAGAGCUCUCCACAACUAUUCUGUUGACGUGAAGCAAAUGGUGCUCAUGUCAUGUAACGUCUUUUCCUCCUCUCAAAAGAGAUAAAAUUUGCAAUACUCAUAAAGCAAUGGAGGGAUAACAACAAGAAAAACUAAUGUACUUCUUGACACAGACUCAUGCAAAAGCUUCAUAAAUAUUACUUUCAAUACUAAAAUAAUAACACGAUACUAUGCUCAACAGGAGUAAUUGGACGUCAAUAAGACAAUCCACAUAACCAAACUACCUUCAUUAACCUCACAUACAACAAAACCUACUAUUACCGCACUUGAACAAUUUGUACCUCGUGAUAUCACAGGAUGCAUUCAAAGUAGUAGACAUACAUGAUCUAUCAGACCAUCAUUCAUAAAAGAAAAAUCUCAAUCCGAUGCAACAACCCCAUCAUUAAAGAGAUAGAUGACUAACAAACAUAAGCAACUCCCAGUUAAGCAUUGACUUCGUUUAAGAUAAAGCGGUCCAAAUAAUGAUUCAAUAAGCAUGCAUAGAGAAACUGCUCAUAAAAAAAAUCAAACUGCCAUACAAUGUUGGCAAAUAAAAAAAUAUAAAACAGGUUGUCAAUAUCGCCCACAUGACUAGCCUGCAACAACUAAAAAUUAUGCAUAGCCUUUAUGGCUAUUGAAACAAGCCAUAGAAGGAAAACAUGCACGACAUAAAAUCCACUUGAAACCACCCUAUUUAUUGUUAAAAAUAAGGUUGCACAUAAUAAGAAAAUCUAUCAGGUAGACAUGGUUGGACUUAUCAAUCUACGUCAUCUCACAAAUUCACUCGAGUUCUACCAGUCUAAAGAUUUCAUAGACAUUACAAUGUUGCCUCUGCUCUAUAGAGACAAACCAAUUUUAUACUAAGAUCAAGUUAGCAAGUAGCCACACUAGCCUAAAAAAAGUGAGGCGCAAAGCAUUGCACCCAUGGAAAUAUUACAUUGAUAAGUUGGGUUGUAACCCAACAGUCAAUCAAACUCAACAACACCAUAAAACUACAUUAUAUAGUGUUUUCACACUACACCAAGUCGGAUUAGACCCACUAUACACAAGCUCAAUAAACAAUCGGUCCUAUAAGUACAAGAACCCAAGAAUCCUUUUGGAAAAAAAACAUCCACAAUCAAGCAUAUAGAAAUAUAUGAUGGUAAUAGCUCAGAGAAUUCAAAACAUUGCAUUCCAAAAAACAUCAUGACGAUAUGUAUAUAAAACAAGUACAUUAGUAUCUUCACUUGCAUAAUAUCUUCAAUAACAACCACAUCAAGAAACCAAUAUUAAAUAGAAGUAACAUAUCAUAUCAAGCAUUACGUCGUUAACGACAUACCCCAUCAAACCAUAAAGGGAUUUGGAGUAAGGAAGUUCUAGUCAUCUAUACAAUAAAAUACUAAUAUGAAAGAUAUACGAACCCAUACCCUUCCUAUAUGUGCAAGUGUGUCAAAUUUAUCUUCAAAUUGCGUAGAAUCUGAAGCCUAUCCUCUGAAACCAACUGUAACACCCCAGGGUCCACAAACACCCUGGAAUGCUACUAAACAACACUUCUGACAUCUAUAUACAAAAUUUCGGCAGCAUCCCCUUUGCAAAAUUGCAUAAAUGAGGGGGCAACAGUGUAUAAACAUACAUCAUGACAAAAAUAUACUAAGUAUUAUUAAUCGGCUAGCAAAGAGAAGUUAAACAUACGACAUGAACUGAAUUAACUAGUGCGCACGACUAGUUAAAAAAACUUCCUUUGACAAUAAAUUUCUAAUUAAAUCAUGGCUGCGCCUGGGCAGCGCUAUUGUGAGAGUGAAAGUGGACGUGCUGCUACUCCCCUCAUUCCCAACAUGUAUCAAGUACCUGCAUUAAGUAAUGCAUGAGUGAGAUGACACAUCUCAGCAAGUAAAAUAAUAUCAAACUGUUUAACCACAUAAGAACAUUGUUUUACCACCACUUGAUUCCACAACCUUCUUAUUACAAAGGUGCAGCACGUAUACAAUGUACAACACACCUAGUCACCACACCUCAUAGGUAGAAACCACAAUAGUAACAUAGUAAUGUCACACUUCAUAUAUACCUCAUGAGUGCAAAUGUCUGCAAAUGCAAGGAUGACUUCUGCCUUCAUACCUCUAAGGAUAUGAAGCCGCAUCGUACCCCUCCUCGGGCAACAUACGAUGCUAAAAAUGUAUCGGUACGGUCGGACCAUAAGAUCACGACAUAACUUCAAAAUGCAAGAUGGAUGAUGCGAUGUGCAUGUCAUGCCUACAACACUUCAUAUAACGUGAUUCAAAAAGAUACUUCAACUUCAUCAAGAUGGGAAUCAACCACAUAUAUCAUUACCAAAUUAUGAUCAUCCACAAUAUUAGACAAUUGAGAAUUAAUACUUCCAAACAAAUAACUUCAUCAUAGAAUUCAAUGAUUAACAUAAUUAAAACUUAUGCAUACUCAAUGACAGGGAAUAGGAUGCAAACCAAACGGUAGCAACCACCACUGUAUUUACUUGCCUUUACCGGAAGUUUGGGCAAAUCCCUAAGUACGAUCCGGAAGUCCACCACCUGUUUUUGACACACAACUUAGUGCACCAAUUUCACAUAAUCAGGCUCAUAAGCGACGCCGCACCUACGCACAAACUCAAACCCCGCCGCGGGUUACAUCUCUCCCCACACCCACCAAACUACAGCGGCGCUGCCUAAUAAUUUCAUAACUUUAAAUUUAUUACAGCAGUGGUAACAAACAAAAACUCCAGAGGCAUCUACAUAAAAUUCCCUACAAGUUUUGUAUACAAUUUAUAAUUAAAUUCCAACAUCUAAUUAGCCCAAAACAGUCCACAAGAUGAACCCUGUAAUCUGUUUUUUUUGUCUUUUGGACAGCGACAUACCCGGAUUCAAACAGCGAUAUCUUUUAAAAUAUAAUUCCAAAUCAAGCGCAUAAGUACUCAUUGGAAAGAUAAGACAAAGCCCUACAUGAUUAUUAUACUGGUUAACACUAAUUACCCACGAAAAAUUCCCAGAAACUGCUAAUACUACUGCUGUUCACCCACCUGAAAAAUCUGUUUUUUUGGACAGCAACAUAACCGGAUUCAAACAACGAUAUCUCCUAAAUUAUAACUCCGAAUCGAGCGCAUAAGUACUCGUUGGAAAGGUAUGACAAAGCUCUACAUGAUUCUCCCACUGAUCCCCACUAAUUGCCCACGAAAAAAAUCCCAGAAAUCCCUAGAACUACUGUUGUUCGUCCACCCACUAAAUUUCUGGACAGCACCUCUACCAAAUCGCAUAGAUAAACAUGUAACCAAUUGGAUUGCAGCACAAAUACAACAAAAUGAUCACGAAAAUCACCUUGGGUUCCUCCUUUCCUCCUUCUUUUCUUCCUUCUUCCUCUCUCCAAACUCCCAUGGAAGACUCGCACCCACACGACGGACACCAAGCGGGGAGGCUCCACCUUGGAGAGGAAGAGGUGGGGGGGGGCUAGGGUUGAGGGGUGGCGCUGCAAUCACUUGGGGAAGAAGGAGAGAGAUUGGGGCGGCUGCAAGAGUGGAAGAGAGGAAGAGAGAGGGGGGGCGGCCAAAGGGGUGGGGGAGUGAGAGGGAGGGGGCGGCUAGGGUUAAGGGGGGGGGGGGGAAACUAAUGGGCUCCCCACCGCCGGAUCGAGAUCCACGGCCCAAACUCGCUCUCACGUCUGCUCCCGACCCCAGCGCACAAAUCCAACAAGUAUUCUACUGUUUUACUGGUGAAUGCUUCCUAAAAAAACUCCAACCCCAAGGGAAAAAUAAAUUUAACUUCUUUUCGGAAAAUUGGGUAUCACAUUCCCGCUUCACUUGGGUAUUCUUUUUGCAGGAUAAAUCUGAAACCCAAGGGACCCUCAAGCGCUUCCUAAGGAGAGCCCAAAACGAGUUUGAGCUCAAAGUGAAGAAGAUAAGGAGCGACAAUGGGUCCGAGUUCAAGAACCUUCAAGUGGAGGAGUACCUUGAGGAGGAAGGAAUCAAGCACGAGUUCUCCGCUCCCUACACACCACAGCAAAAUGGUGUAGUAGAGAGGAAGAAUAGGACACUUAUAGACAUGGCGAGGACAAUGCUUGGAGAGUUCAAGACGCCCGAGCGGUUUUGGUCGGAAGCCGUGAACACGGCUUGCCAUGCCAUCAAUCGGGUCUACCUUCAUCGCCUCCUCAAGAAGACGUCAUACGAGCUACUAACCGGUAACAAACCCAAUGUUUCGUAUUUCCGAGUUUUUGGGAGUAAAUGCUACAUUCUAGUGAAGAAAGGUAGGAAUUCCAAAUUUGCUCCCAAAGCGGUAGAAGGGUUUUUGUUAGGGUAUGACUCAAAUACAAAGGCGUAUAGGGUCUUCAACAAAUCAUCGGGUUUGGUUGAAGUCCCUAGCGACGUCGUAUUUGAUGAGACUAAUGGCUCUCCAAGAGAGCAAGUUGUUGAUCUUGAUGAUGUAGAUGAAGAAGACGUUCCAACGGCCGCAAUACGCACCAUGGCGAUUGGAGACGUGCGGCCACAGGAACAAAAGGAGCAAGAUCAACCUUCUUCCUCAACAAUGGGGCAUCCCCCAACUCAAGACGAUGAACAGGUUCAUCAAGAGGAGGCAUGUGAUCAAGGGGGAGCACUGGAUGUCCAAGAGGAAGAGGAACAAGCACCCCAGGCCCCUCCAACUCAAGUUCGAGCAACGAUUCAAAGGAAUCAUCCCGUCGACCAGAUUUUGGGUGACAUUAGCAAGGGAGUAACUACUCGCUCUAGAUUAGUUAAUUUUUGUGAGCAUUACUCCUUUGUCUCUUCUAUUGAGCCUUUCAGGGUAGAAGAGGCCUUGCUAGAUCCGGACUGGGUGUUGGCCAUGCAGGAAGAGCUCAAUAACUUCAAAAGAAAUGAAGUUUGGACACUGGUGCCUCGUCCCAAGCAAAAUGUUGUGGGAACCAAGUGAGUGUUCUGCAACAAACAAGAUGAGCACGGAGUGGUGACAAGGAACAAGGCUCGACUUGUGGCAGAAGGUUAUGCCCAAGUCGCAGGUUUGGACUUUGAGGAGACUUUUGCUCCUGUGGCUAGGCUAGAGUCCAUUCGUAUUUUGCUAGCAUAUGCCGCUCACCAUUCUUUCAGGUUGUUCCAAAUGGAUGUGAAGAGCGCUUUCCUCAACGGGCCAAUCAAGGAGGAGGUGUACGUGGAGCAACCCCCUGGCUUCGAGGAUGAAUGGUACCCCGACCACGUGUGUAAGCUCUCUAAGGCGCUCUAUGGACUUAAGCAAGCCCCAAGAGCAUGGUAUGAAUGCCUUAGAGAAUUUUUAAUUGCUAAUGCUUUCAAGGUUGGGAAAGCCGAUCCGACUUUAUUCACUAAGACUUGUGAUGAUGAUUUAUUUGUGUGCCAAAUUUAUGUCGAUGACAUAAUAUUUGGUUCUACUAACCAAAAGUCUUGUGAAGAGUUGCGUAGUGAGCUAAAUGUCUUAGAUUCGCGGAACUUGGAUUGAUCUAUAGCAUACAUGUGUUUAUGCCUUGAUCAUGUUCCUUAAUGCAUUUUCUUGUUUAUUUAUGGUGCUCAAGUUGUACAAGUACUCCCCGGACCUCACAAGUCCGUUUGCAAGUGAUGCACAUAUUUAGGGGGAGAUGUGCUACAACUUGACCCUUUGAGACUAACUGUGUGCUUGAGUUUGCUCAAUUUAGUCACAAAGGAGGUUUGAAAGGGAAAAGGUGGACUUGGACCAUGCAAGACUUCCACUGCACUCCGAUGAAAGAGUAAAUGAUUCCAAGUUCAUCUUUGUACUCUUAUUGCCUUUGUACUCUUAUUUGAAGAUUUUGGUGAGGCAAUGGGGUUUAAGGGCCAAGAUUGAUCCUGUUUUGGUGCUUGAUGCCAAAGGGGGAGAAAAUAAGGCCAAAGCAACAAAUGGAUCAGCUACCACUUGAGAAUUUUGAAAAUAGUAGAAUAGAGCUUUUGGUUAGUCAAAAAUCUCUUAUUGUCUCUUUUGUCAAAAGUUGGCCUCUUGUGGGGAGAAUGGUUAAUUAUGGGAAAAAGGGGGAGUUUUUGAAAUCUUUGAUCAAUUUCUCUUGGAACAACUCACUUUAUGUCUCAACAAGUGUGUUUGACUUAGAGAUAGGAAAUUGAGGUCGAUUUGCAAAAACAAACCAAGUGGUGGCAAAGAAUGAUCCAAAUAUGCCAAAUUUGAUUCAAAGCAAAUUUGUGUUCUCAUUUGAAUUGAUGUUGCACUUCUUUUAGUUGCUUUUAUGUUGUGUUGGCAUAAAUCACCAAAAAGGGGACAUUCAAAGGGAAAUGUGCCCUUGGGCCAUUUCUAAGUAUUUUGGCGAUUUAGUGUCCAACACAAGUGCUUAAAUGAUAAAUUAUGCCAAAUGGUGGAUAAGGUGCAAAUCAAUACAAAGGUAUGAUUCUAGACUUAGUACAUUGGUUUUUGUGUACUAACAUGUUUGUCUAAGUGCUAGAAUCAGAGAAAAUACAAUUGAAAAAGCUUGGAUCGAAGCAGCCAAGAGUCAGCUCAGACUGGGUGCGCCGGACUGUACGGUGGUGCACCGGACAGUGUCCGGUGCGCCAGGCUGGCGUCUGUCAACUGGCUGCUCUCGGGACUUCGACGGCGGCGUACGGCUAUAAAUCACCGGACUGUCCGGUGGUGCACCGAACUGUCCGGUGAGCCAACAGUCGGCUCGGCCAACGGUCGGCCGCGUAAUCCGCUCGCGACGCGUGGCAGAGCCAACGGUCAGAAGGGGGCACCGGAAUGUCCGGUGUGCACCGGACAGUGUCCGGUGCGCCAAUGGCUCCAAAGCGCCAACGGUCGGCUUCGCCAUAGAAGGAAAGAAAUCCGCACCGGACAGUGUCUGGUGGUUCACCGGACUGUCUGGUGCGCCAGGCGACAGAAGGCAAGAAUUGCCUUCUUGAAAUGCUCUCAACGGCUCCUAGCUGCCUUGGGGCUAUAAAAGGGACCCCUAGGCGCAUGGAGGAGUACACCAAGCAUCCUUUGAGCAUUGUUGAUCACUCACACUUCAUUCUUGCGCACUUGUUCGACAUUCUUAGUGAUUUGAGCUCCGUUCCAGUGAGAACCUUGAGAUAUUGUGUUGAGCUCAAGUCUUGAUAUUGUGUGUGCAUAUUUGUUGUGGUUUUGAGUGUGUCGCUUUCCUCCCUUACUCUAGAGCUUCAUUUUGAUUCUUAUUGUAAGGGCGAGAGACUCUAAGUUGUGGAGAUUCCUCGCAAACGGGAAAGAGUAAAGUAAAGAAGAUCACUGUGGUAUUCAAGUUGAUCAUUGGAUCACUUGAGAGGAGUUGAGUGCAACUCUCGUCCGUUGGGACGCCACAACGUGGAGUAGGCAAGUUUUGUACUUGGCCGAACCACGGGAUAAAUCCUCGUGUCUCUUGUGCUUGUCUUUACUGUGUCUGUUGUGUUUCACAAGAGAACUCCUUUCUAGCCACUUGGCGUUAUUGUGCUAACUCCUAAUCAAGUUUUGUUGGAUUAAGUUUCAAGUUUUUACAGGAUCACCUAUUCACCCCCCUCUAGGUGCUCUCAAUUAUCCAUUUCCCAUUAGCUUUCUUCACCAUAACGGUGUUAGCCGGCCACUCUGGAUAUGUUACUUCUCUGAUAACACCGGUACUGAGAAGUCUCUUUACUUCAUUUCGUGCACCUUCGGCUUUAUCAUCAGACAUUUUCGGAAGCCUCUGCUUUCUUGGUCUGAAGGAUGGGUCCACAUUGAGUGAAUGCUCAAUGACGUCUCUAUUGACACCAUAGAGAUCAUUAGCUGUCCAAGCGAAGACAUCUUCGUUGUUGAACAAGAAUCUAAGCAGAGUCUUUUCCUGUUCACCGGAUAGCUGAGAUCCCCGCAAUACCUUUUGGUUUGCUAUGUCUUCACACAAGAGCAUAGGCUUUGGCUGAUCUGCUGAAGCAGCCUUCUCUCUUUUGUGCUUAUACUACUAAUAAGCUUCGGCUUCAUCUAUAUUAUGGAUAGCCUUCGAAUCCGUCCAACUCCCUUCAGCCCUCCUAGCAGCUUCUUGACUUCCGUGAACAACAAUAGGCCCUUGUUCCAAAGGUAUCAUCAUGCAUAAAUAUGCUAGAUGAAGUAUUGCUUCGAAGGCAUUAAGCGUCCCUUGACCAAUGAUUGCAUUGUAUGGAUACUCCAUAUCAACAAUGUCAAAGACAACCUGUUCAGUUCUUGUGUUAUGGACAUAGCCGAAGGUAAGUGACAUUGUUAUCUUGCCAAGUGCCACAAUCUAUCUUCCUCCAAAGCCACAAAGAGGGUGCGUUGCAUCGUGUAUCUUAUCUUCUGGCUCUUUCAUUUGCCUGAAAGCCUUUGCAAAGAUAAUGUCCGCUGCGCUGCCUAUGUCAACUUGGACAUUGUGGACCAGAAAUCCCUUGAUGGCACAAGAUAUAACCAUUGCAUCGUUGUGGGGAUAAUCUUUGAGCUGAAGAUCUUCCUGAGAGAAGGUAAUUAGAAUGUGAGACCACAUGGAUUUGAUGAAGGGUCCUUGCACCCCAACUUGUUGUACCCUUCUUUGUGCUUCCUUCUUCUCCUUCUUGUUGGCUGGUUUAGAGCUUGAACCACUUGUGAUUGGGAGCACCAGCUUCGUGGCUGAAGGUGCUACAGCUUGAUUGUUGUGCGAAGCCAUCGUCACAACCGUGGAAGUGAGUUCACCGGAGGUGGGCGCCAAUGUUGGUCCUUGUUCUCGGAUGCUACACAUCAAGAACAAAGCAACACAAUUGUUAACGAUUAGGGACCUUCGUCCUUCGAAGCAUUAUCUCCCCUGGGAUAUAUGAUCUUCAGGCGAAGGUCAAGAAGGGCAUACCUUCAUCAUUUCAGUGAAUGAAAUAUAAAUAAAGACAUAUGAAAUACAAAGGAAUAUAAACAAUCAUUACAAAUCAUUAUAUUAUUUACAUUAUCGUUUUAUAAACAUGGAUAAACAUCAAUGAUAUUUAUAUUACAUUUAUACCUUCGGUUUGACAGAAGAUGGAAAAGCGAGAGUGACGCGAGAGUGAUUAUAAUUCAGCGUGAACAGUACGGGGGUACUGUUCAUCUAUUUAUAGGCAUGGGACGCAGCCCGGACAAAAUUACAUCCAUGUCCCUGAUAAUUAAUUAUAAUCAUAUUACAGAUUAUCAGGGGCUAUACAGUCUUUUCCUCUUUAAGUUGGUAUCGUCCUUCGUCUUUAGCAUGUCACCAUGCCGAAGCUCCUUCAAUCGUAGCUUUGGCUUAUAUCUUCAUGUCACACCUGCUUAUGUAUUGUCCUACCGAAGGUGUUUUUGCUUAGAGGACCUUCGGCGAAGAAGAAGGCCCCCAACAUAACCUAUCAUAGACAGGUAUGCCUUUUGAUCAACGGACUUACCUCCUUUGUCGAGGUCCAAGUGUCCGUCCAUUCCCAUCGGCGUCUUAGAGGGCUUUGCAUCCUUCAUCCCAAACCUCUUGAGUAAGUCUUGAGUGUACUUCGUUUGAGAGAUGAAGGUUCCUUCCUUGAUUUGCUUUACUUGGAAUCCAAGGAAGUAGUUCAACUCGCCCAUCAUAGACACCUCGAAUUUCUGCAUCAUUACCCUGCUAAACUCAUCACAAGACUUUUGAUUAGUAGAACCAAAAAAUAUGUCAUCGACAUAUAUUUGGCAUACAAACAAAUGACCAUUAAAAGUCUUAGUAAAAAGAGUAGGAUCAGCUUUCCCAACCUUGAAAGCAUUGGACAUAAGACUGAUUAUAAGAACCACAAGAGUAAGGGAGGGAACAGAAACACACACAAGAACUAGAGUCGCAACAACAACACGCACACAAGUCAAGAACUGAGCACUCAAAACAACGCAGCGGAGCCACAGCUCAAAGAAGUGCUCAAAUCUCAAAUGGAAUGAAUAGAAUGCGUGCUUGCAGAGUCUAGGCAUCUUAGGAUGUUCAAUGGAGACUUGGUGUAGUGCUCCAUGCGCCUAGGGAUCCCUUUUAUAGCCCCAAGGCAGCUAGGAGCCGUUAGAGUUCCAUUUGGAAGGCUUUGGUUGCCUUCUGUCUGUGGGCGCACCGGACAGUCCGGUGCACCACCGGCUAGUGAACAGUGCGUGAUCUCCUUCCUUUUCUAGCAAAGACGAUCGUUGCCAGCCACGGCCCAUGUGGCACACGCACUGGACUGAGCCACGUGUCACUCGCUGAUCGCUCGGUCGACCGCUGGUCGGGCGCGCGGCUGGCACACCGGACAGUCCGGUUAAUUAUAGCCACGGUGCCCUCAGCAUUUUCCCGAGAGUGACCUGUUCGCCAAGGCGCCAGCCUAGGCACCGAACACACACAUGCUGGUGCAAGUUUGGCUAGACUUAGCCAAACUUCUCCAAUCCAAUUUCUCUCGAUUUGACAAGGUUCCUAGCACUUAGUAGAAUAAUGUUAGUACCAAAAACAAUUUACUAAGUCUAGCAUCAUACCUUGCUUUUUCCAUUUGCAUAUCUUUGAUACUUAGCUUAUAUCAAACAAAACAAUAUGUGUUGAGCAUCUCAUCACUAAAACAUUUAUAGAAAUGGCCCAAAGGCACAUUUCCUUUCAGUUUUUUUGUUGAGUUGUUUUUAGAGGAUCACCUAUUCACCCCCCUCUAGGUGCUCUCAAUUGGUAUCGAAGUCGUUCUCUUCAUCAAGGGACUAACCGCCCAAAGAGAUGGAUCCCAAGGGCAAGGGGGUGGUGAUCAACGACAAAUAGAAGGAGACUCUCAACAUAAAUGAGCCAAAAGGUGACAAGCCCACCGACUCAGGCUCAAACAACAAAAGGAAGGAUGGGAGGAAGAAGAGACACAUCAAGAAAAUCAUAUACUACGAUAGUGACACCUCCUCUUCUGCACCAAGGAAUUAGCCUUUAUGAAAGGGAAAUGUACCCUUGGGCCAUUUCUAAAUGUUUUGGUGAUUAAGUGCCUAACACAUCACUUUGAACUAACAUGCUACUAUGAGUAUGAGCUCAGAGUCAAAGAAAAGGAAAUUGAAGUCUUGGAAGAAAGUUGAACAUCCUAUACAAUUGGAGAAACUAAGGUAUGAUUCUAGCACUUAGUAAAAUGUUUUGGUAUUAACUAUGUUCUACUAAGUGCCAGGGAACUUCUCAAAAUGAGAGAAAUUCAAUUGGAGAAGUUUGGCUUAGGGUAGCCAAACUUGGACCAGUCUACGGUGCACCGGACUGUCCGGUGCGUUUCCGGUGCUCAGGCUGCGUACCCAGCGAACAAGCCACUCUCGGGAAAAAGCCAGGGUGCCGCGGCUAUAAUUCACUGGACUGUCUGGUGUGUCAGCCACGCGCCUGGCCAACGUCGACCGUGCGAUCAGCGGGCACCACUUGGGCUCGGCCAACGGUUACUAGGCCGCACCGGACUAUCUAGUGUGCCACCGGACUGUCCGGUGUGCAAAGGGACCAGAGGGUGGCAAUAGCCGGCUUCGCCAAAUAAGGAAGGUAUCGUGCACUGUUCAAUGUCCGGUGGUGCUCCGGACUGUCUAGUGCGCCAACUGACAGAAGGCAAUCAGAGCCUCGCUAAUGGAGCUCCAACGGCACCUGUGUCCUUGGGGCUAUAAAAGGGACACCUAGGCGCAUGGAGCACUACACCAAGCAUCAUUUGAACAUCCUAAUACACUGAGACAUUGCGAUCAUGCUAGAGCUUUGAUAGUUUGAGAUUUGAGCAAGAGUUUGAAUUGUAAUUCAACUAUGUUGUUUCUUAUGCUCCUCUCUCAACUUGUUAGUGUGUUUUGCUAUGAUUUUUGUCUCUUGUGUGCGGUUCUACUCCCCCUUACUCUUGUGUUCAUUUGAGAUCAAAUUGUGUAAGGCGUGAGGGACUCCAAAUUGUGGAGAUUCCUCACAACAGAAAAAAGUUGAGAUAAGAAAUAGAACCGUGGUACUCAAGUUGAUCAGUGGAUCGCUUGAGAGGGGUUGAGUCCAUCCCUCGUCCAUUGGGACACCACAACAUGGAUUAGGCAAGCAUUUUACGCUUGACCAAACACGGGAUAAAAUCGCCAUGUCAUCUGUCUUUAUACCUUAUAGCGAUUCUACUCUUUCUUAUAGUUCACUUCACUUCAUAAUUGCUCUAAGUUUAAUACUCACCUUGUGAGAGCAAUUAAGUGAAGAAGUUCACUCCUCUCAUCUUCUUCAUUCAGACUUGGCUCUUGCUUUCACUAAUCCAAUAUUAGUCCAAGUUUGUUUUGUUGAGUUGUUUUUACAGGAUCACUAUUCACCCCCUCUAGGUGCUCUCAAUUUGGUACUGUCGAAAACGGUCAUUCAUGGUCGUUUUUCGGCCAAAAAUAUUGGUCGUGUACUCAUGGACCUUUGGUGAGAGGCUCCUAUUACUUACCCCAUACAUAUUACCUUGCUAAAAUUUAGUUUCUUGUGUUUUUGGCAGAGCAUUUAUUCAUGUAAAAUCUAUAGGUGUUAGCAUUUAGUAUUGCCGAAAACAGACGUUCAAGCCUGUCAUGGGUGUAGUAAAUCCAAAGGACUCAUUAUUUAUGAGUAUAAGCUAGCUAGAAAAUUAUUGUCUUAGCUCGGUGGUGGCUCAAGAAUGUGUGAUACUCAAUAGAUCUAGACAUCAAAAAAACUUGAAUUCAGUAAACUAGCUAACAAAAAAAUGUGAAACAUGAAAACUGGCCUGAUAUCAUGGGAUGUCCAAAAUUUACACAAGAAAAUGGAUUUGUUGGGGACUUGUUCUCAAAUGCUAUGAGUUAAGAACAAGGCAACACAAAUGUUAAUGGUUAAAGGCGUUCGUCCUUCGAAGCAUUAUCUCCCUUAGGAUAUAAUGAUCUUCAGACGAAGUCUUGAAGGGUAUACCUUCGUCAUCCCAAUAUAUAAUAGAAAGCAGAAGUAUAAAUUACAUAUAAAGAAUAUGAAUAGGCAUCUCAAAUCAUUAGAUCAUUUAUAUAUUUAUUGAAUAACCAUGAAUGAACAUUAAUGAUAUUGAAUUACACUUGUACCUUUGGCUUGACGGAAGGCAAAAGUCUGAGAGUGACGUGCGAGCGGUUACAAGUCAGCGUGAACAGUACAGUGUUACUAUUCAUCUAUUUAUAGGCACAGGACGCAGCCUGUGUAAAAUUACAUCCAUGCCCUUGACAUUUAUUAUUGACUAAGGGCAAACUAUCGAGGACUAGACAACCUUUUCCUCUUUAGGUCGGUUUCAUUUUCCACCGCUAAGCCAAAGCUUCUCCAUCCGUAGCUUCGGAACUGGUUGGUCCUUCUCCCAGAUCGCGCCUUUCAUUCCACGCGCACCUUCAUCUCAAGGCCGAAGGUUCCUGUGAAAGUAUAUUAUACUUGGAAAACAUGUUAGUCGUGUUUCUGAGGACCUUCGGAAGAUGAAGGCCCCCAACAGGAUUUAAGAAACAACACAUGCUUGAGUGCCAAGUUUGCCAUGUUUGACAUGUCAGAACCAACAAAAAGUCGAGAAAUCAUAAUCCAAAAAGAGCAAAAGGAGUGGAACAAGAGUGAAGGUGAUUUGUUGUUUAUAGUUUACUUUAUUUUAUAAAAGAAUUUAAAAAGGGAGUUGGAAAAGAGUGAAUGAGGUUUAUUGUCUAUAGUUUUUAAGGGGCAUGGAGUGGGACAAGAGCGACAGUGAUUUGAUGUUUAUAGUUUUUAAAGAUGAUUUGAUGUUUAUAGUUUUUAUAAGGAAAUAAGUAGAGAACUGAUGAUGACUACAUGCUUUUGCUUUUUGUUUCUUUUCUUUUGAGAGGAGUGCAUGUCAUGCGUUUGUUUUGAACUUUUGCAUGAGAGGAAAAGAGCUAGGACCUACUUAUAGCAAUUGUGUACACGUGUUAGUCUUUGAACUAGCUGGCCAGGGUUUUUUCAAGGAACAAAAAUAGGACGGCCAGCGAUGUCUGUGGCGUGCCAUACGUUAAUGUCUAGCUUCCUUGCCUCCAUUGUCCAUAAAUACAUGAGCAUCUGCAACAUCGAUCUCCACACACACACAUCCAUCAAAGAAACAAGCGCACAAGAUCAAAUACCUCGCCGCCAACAAUGGCCUCCAGGUCCUCCAUCCUGCUCGCCAUGGUGAUGCUGGCUGCGCUAUUCGUCGUUGGUUUGUGCACCACCCCCCUCACCUUCCAGGUCGGCAAGGGAUCCAAGCCUGGCCACCUGAUCCUCACCCCCAAUGUUGCCACCAUAUCCGACGUGGAGAUCAAAGAGCACGGUGGCGAUGACUUCUCCUUUACGCUCAAGGAGGGCCCGACUGGCACCUGGACGCUCGACACCAAGGCCCCGCUCAAGUACCCCCUUUGCAUCCGCUUUGCUGUCAAGUCCGGCGGCUACCGCAUCGCCGACGACGUCAUCCCUGCCGAUUUCAAGGCCGACACCACCUAUAAGACCACACUCAGCAUCUAAUCAAUCUCUGGUGAUGAAUUAGAUUUCAAAAGAGCUCAUCUAGCGCACAUGUUAGCAAGACAAUAUUAUUUUUUCUAUGGUUAUUUUGUGGAACCAAACCACCCAAGAAAUAAGUGAUGCUAGAUGUACCUUCUGACCUUGUUGUAUUGGGUUGAUAUUAUUACAUAAACUAAAUACAUUAUUUAUUUAAGAUUUUAGGAGAAAUAUGUUGAUCUGGUCCACCUUCAUUAUCGAGAUGGUUGUAAAUUACAUUUUCCAAUUUUUCAUACUUAUGAAAUGCUUUGUGACACGACCACGCCAUUAAGCAACACGUUACAACCCCCAAGUCAUACUACAUCAACUCAAGUACAACCAACAUCAUCACCAAUCCAAGUCUUUGAUGGACCAAUUACACGUAGCCGAGCUAAGAAGCUACAACAAGAGGUGCACACGCUACUUUAUAAAUUUCAAUUAAACACUAAUGAGAACUUUAUGCUACCUAAGUCGUGUAUGUUGAUAUUACAUAGGUUCACCAAAGAGGAAGGACAAAACAUAUCAAGGGCGAAUCAGCAAGAAGAGCUAUGUUCGAGUCAGUCCAGCGCAACAGAACCGUCCAGAAGAAACAGUCAUAUCUUUUGAUUCCCAAAAGCUAUGAAGGCCCAUAAGUAUUUUUUGGAAAGCUCUUGAAGUCUAGUUUCCAAUGCUUCUAAGGCCGACUUAAUCAAAUCUACCAGAAAGGCAGCCGACCUACUUUAGUGCUGACUGGUCAGAAAGUCAACAGUCUGUUUGAUGACCAAGUUUUUGUAUUAAACUGCAUCAUCUACGAAGUUUCUUUAAGCAUGCUAUACAUGGUGAGAAAGCUUAUCAAGUCAACUUUCCAACACAUCCAGCCCCACCUCAUUUGUAGAUUCCUAGGAGAAGUUAUUAUCAAAAUACUAAAGGUUGUGCAGAAGUCAAACAGCCAUACGGAAAUCAGCUCUGCAGAACUCUCGAAGAGGCUCCUUCACAUUAGCACGUGAAAAUACUUUUGUUUCGUGUUUAUACCUCUCUAAGGCUGGUUGUUACUAGUAAAAAUACCCCCUAUGUCUAUGAUGUAAGGCAACUUUUGAUAAUCUAAAAACAGAACCCUUUUGUUCAGUUGUGUGCUAACAAAUAUUGAGAGUGAUCUCUACCCAUUUGCUCUUGUGAAUUCUUUCGCGGGAUUGCAGAAGCAGCAACUUUAUCUGCUCCCAAGUGUUGCUCCUACUCCCUUUGAGGUAUCCUCGAUUGAUUGUAGGCUGUGUUGGUUGGUUCUUUGAGAGUGUGGUUGGGCGAAUCCUCGAUUCAGGUUGCCGAUUAAAGACGGUGGUUGGCUUCGAGUUUUAUUUGUUAGGUUGCACUAGUUAUCGCUGCUUGCAGCAAGUUAUCUUGGCUUCUUGGAAGCUAGUUAUCUGAAGAUUGAUCCUACGUCGUGAAGAUCGGGCAUCGUGAUGCAUCAUUUGGUAUCAAAGCCUCAGUUGCCACGGUAGAAUUCUUUACCCCUAGCUACAUCUAUUUUGUGUUCGUCCUAUCCACCAAAAAGCCAUAAAAUAUUUUUGCCAUAGCCCUUUGUUUCAAUCUAUUGUUCCAGUGAGUUUUGUUAAGUUUUAGUCCUUAGAGUCUUUGUUUAGUUGCUGGUCACUCUAUCCUUUGUGUUCCCUUUGAGC
Molecule: long non-coding RNA, 73742 nt
Filed under: Zea mays
Lineage: Eukaryota; Viridiplantae; Streptophyta; Magnoliopsida; Poales; Poaceae
Description: long non-coding RNA (ZMAY_LNC002269)
Source: RNAcentral